UAUUUCUUUUUAUUUUAGUAAUUGAGUUUUGUUACAAGAUAGAUUCUGAAACAGUUUUACACACACACACUACUCAACCUUGCUUAGCAAGGCAAUCAAACAUGACUUAUUAGGAAAAGAAAAAAUUGAAACAAAAUUAAGAUGAAGCUUGCAUGUCUCAUCAUCAUCAUCUGCUGCUUAUGAAGUUGCAGGGACCAAGCGUCUGGAGCAAAUUGUGCAGUAGAAUUUCUUCUUAACUUUAUGAGAGAUUGGAAGAAAACAAAAUCUCAAAUGGGCAUCAAAAUCUAUUGCCAGCACAGGCCCUCCACAGUAUGGGCAAGCUGCAUCAGCUCCAUUUCUCCUAAUCACCUUUUCUCGCAGAUCGAAUAUUGACAACACACUCAUUUUUCUCUUUUUGUUGGGGGACGUUGUUGUAAGCAAUGCUUGUUCUCAAUAUAUUUUUGUAUGCACAUAAUAUAUACUUAAAGAUUUGGGCAUGCAACUUCUUUGGAGUUUCAUUUUUAAUGCUGUUUCUUAGCUGGGGCGCUAUUUUUUUUUUUAAUUUAGUUACAACUGUUAAAGAACUUGGUAUUUUUCUCGAACUGAUUGGUGAUGUUCACGUUUGGUGCGUUUAAAGCAAGAAAUGAAUCAAUUGAGAAGCUGCGAAGAAAUUGGUAUUGAAAGCAGCGAGGUUCGCUCCAGGUCAAAAAAAUGGUGCAUUGACGGUUUGACUUCUUGGACAUUUUAGCUGCGGUUUCUCACUGAGCCCGUGUUUUUAAUUACAAUAGAAGCUUUACACCCUGGAUUUUGAUGUAACUGAUGUAUUCAUUUGACGCACCGCACCAUAUUAUGUGAAAAGAAAGGAAUAAAAUCCUUUUUUUAUCUGAAUAUUAUUGAAUUUUUAAUGAUUUUUUAUUAUGUGUCUUUUAGUGAUAGUGUACGGAUAAGAUUUAAUUUCUUUUUACUUUUUUAUUUAUUAACAACCAGUCAGUGAUUGAGUUAUUUGCUCAUGACAUGAUCAAAUCAUAAAAAAAUCUUGAUCCAAAAAGAAAAUAGAUUAAAAUGUGCAACAUGUUUACAUCCUGCAUCACUUGGGAAGGUUGUAAGUCAUGAGCUCAUAAUUUGUGAUCCCCUUUGAGUCUAUUAGGAUUCUUUUCGGGUGGGCUUGGGCAGUACCAAAAGAAAGAAAUCCAAAGGGUAAAGGAGACAAUAUCUUGUUAGUGGAUCGGCCGUUACAUUAGAAUAGAUUGAGUUACAAGUGGGAUGAUGUUAUUCUUUUUUUUUUUAAUUAAUAUUAUUUAUUUUAGAAUUUCCCUUAUUACACAAUAAAUAUUUUUUCUCCUCCCUCAGGAUCUCAAUAGACUAACUGACCACGUCUUACAUCUCUCUUUCUUUUCUUUUUCUUUUUUUUAAAUUGAUUCGCAAUUUGAAUGAAAUGUUAACUCACAGUCAAAUCCCCAACUAAAAUUAAACAAAAUCUUAUAAAAUCACAAGAAGUAAGGUCAAUAUCAUUAAUAACAACAAAAUCCAUCACUUGUUCAUAAAAUUUAAUAAAACUCAAUAUUGAAACUCGUCAUAUGUUGAUGGAUUUAUGUACCUGUUGUCGAUGAAGAUAGAUCGUAGAGGUGAUAAUUAUACUAGAGAGAGAGAGAGAGAGACGGGGUGGGGAGAGACGGAAAAAAUAAAAUAAAAAUUAUUAUUUUUUAAUUAAGAAUGAUUCAGAAAUAUUAUAAAAUAAAUUAAAAAGUGGUGGCCGGUAAUAUCGUUUGAGAAGGUAAAAUAUUAUUACUCUUAUCUCUUGACUUGCCAUUGCUUGGUCUUUUUUUUUUUUUUCCUUCUUUCAAAAUGGACUUAUCGUUACAUUAGGAGAAAUUAAAGAGUCGGACGAUUGGCUCCUCCCUAAAAAUCCUAAUAAAACACCUUUUUCAAAAGAACCCCAUUAAUUAAACUAAAAGAAUUCAUUAUUUAUAACGAUACAUGCAUUCUUCCAAAAUUACCCUUAAUUUAAUCUCUUUAAAUUUGGCUUAUUUAUGUAUGAAUAUAUAUUUUUUGAAAUAAUUACUUCUUUAACAGAAAAAAUUACAAGAGACCUACCAUUUUGGAAGGGCAUCCUCCAACAUUUGAUCAAGGCCCCCGCUGCUAUAAUAGCCAUCACCAUCAUCUUAUUUUGCGCCUGUAAAAGCUUUACAAUCAGCAAUUAAACCGUAUAAACAAACAGUUGAGGUUUCAUUUUCAAUACCAUCCAUACGGAACAAGAUUCCCACAGCCUCAAAUACGAAUGGGGUUUUGGCCAAUUAGACUGAAUAGCUGCUGAGCAAAUAUGUAUAUAUAAACAUAAGGAUCAAAGUUGUGGUGUUGAAAAUGACCCAAGAUCCUUGCGUGUUCAUUAAAGGAUGCGUACUCGAAAGAGAUUGAAAUAGGGAUAGUUUUAGAAGAAGAUCAGUUUCCUCAUAAAUAAUGAAUUCUGUUUUAUCUGUUAAAGAGGUUCUUUCAUAAAGAGGGUUUUAUCAGGACUUUAUUGGGGUGUUGUUAGUAGCUCAACCCUAAAUUGAAUUAAUGGGCUGGCAAACCUAAAAGGUAUUUGACUAACCCCCUAAUCUCCUCAUGAAGCUCCAUUUUUAAUUAUAUUUAUUUUAUUUUUGAAAAUAAAUUUAAUUUUUAUUUAAUUUUUUUAUUGUUAAAACUUAAAAUAGUAUUGUAUUAUUUUUUUCAUUUCUUUUGUAAUCUUAUUGUUACUCGACAUACAAACUGAAAAGUUUUCUAGUUUAUGAAUUUUUGGAUGUUAAUUAUUAGCUUAAAUAGCACAUAUAUUUAGACUGUAGUUUGAAAGUAAUGUUAAGUACAAAAAUAUUUAAUUAAUAAGAAAUAGAAAAAAAAAAAAAAAAAAGCGAUUGAUCAUGAAUGUGAGUAUUUUGUUAAAAAAAAAAAAUUCCAUGUGUUGACUUCUUAUUUGUUCUUAACUAUAAUUUUAUUUGAAGUAGGGUUUUAUAAGAAUAAUGAAGGGGUGCCAAUAGCUUCACUCAAUGGUAUUUAUCCUACUCAACUUAUUUCACUAGCCCCACUAUCUAAUUUGUUUCUAAACCUACCCUGUAUCAAAAAAUAAAUAUAGUAGAAUCUCAUUAAAUUAAUAAUUGAUAGAUUGAUAACCUUGAUUAAAUAAUAGUUUUUCAAUUUUGACUUGGGAGCAAUGUGGUAAAUUAAUAAUUCGAUAAAUUUAUUAGAUAAUAAAAAAAUUUUUAAAAAUAUUAUCAAUUAAUUCAUAAAUUAAUAUUAACUAAUUUAAAACUAAAUGCAUAUUUAAUAUGUCUAUGAUUUUCUUUGUUGUACUAUUAUAAUGCUUUAUGCAUUUCAUCUGUCACAAUUGCUUUUUUUUUUUAUAUACUUUUCAAAUAAAAAGUCAUUGUUGUAUUCUAUAUGCUACGUCAAGAGAAAUAAGAGAGAUGGCUUAAUAUAUUGCCUUCAAAUGUCUUCUUUGAUGAGUUACCAUGUAGUUGUGAUCUAACCAUACAAUCUAACCAAAAGAUUAUCACAGGACUAGUUCACUCAAUCAAGAACAAAUAAAAACUAUAUUAUAUAACUUGACGAAAUCACUAUAUUCUCUAAUUAUACUACAUUUACACUUCAUAAAAACUCCUAUUAUGAAUUGUUAUUAUCUUUAUAAAUUAAUGGUUAUUAAUUUAUCAAUGUAUUAAUAUUUACUAAAUUAAUAUAUUUUAAAUGAUCCAAAAGCUGUUAAUUUAUCAAGGUCAUACUAUCAUGUGCUUUAUAUAUAUAUAUAUAUAUUUUUUCUCAAGUAUCACCAGCUAUUUAUUUCCAUUGUGGAAGUUUCGGUAACAGUGGUGGGAGAAGGUGGUUGGAAUUUGUGAAACUGUUUUUGUGUUUUUUGUUUUAAUGAAUUUUUAUUUUCUAAUAAAGAUAAUUAUAUAAAGGGAGAUUGCCAAUUUCCCCCCUACAGUAAUUAACAUAUACUAUUUACUCCCCUUCUUUUUUUAUAAUGGCCAAAAUUCCCACUGACAGUAUAAGUUUACAAUAUUAUCCUUAUUUUUAAUUACUCUUUUAUUUAUAUUUAUUAUAAAUUAAAUAAAUUACAUGAAUAGAAAUUAAAUAAAAAAUUAAGCAUUAAAAAAAUAUAUAUGUUUUGAUAUGAGAAAAAAAUUAAUAAUAAAUUUUUUUUCUUGUACUUAUUUAUUUUGUGAAAAUUUUCUUAUAAUAAAUGUAUAAGAAAGUUAUUAUAAAAUGAUUAAAAAAUUAUUAUAAGAAAAUUUGAAUGACAAAUAAAAAUUUAUUAUAAGAUAAAUAAUAAAAUAUUUUGCCUAUACUUUUUAAAUUUAAUUUUAAAAUAUUACAAAAUUUUUAUUAUAAAAAAUGUUCACAAAAUAAAUAAUUACAAGAAAAAAAACUUAUUAUUAAUUUUUUUGCUCAUAUCAAAACAUAUAUUUCUUGUUUUUAAUACUUAAUUUUUUUAUUUAGUUUCUAUUCAUGUAAUUUAUUUAAUUUAUAAUAAAUGUAAAUAAAAGAGUAAUUAAAAAUAAGGAUAAUAUUGCAAACUUAUGCUGUCAGGGGAGUUUUUGGCCAUUAUAAAAACAUCAGGGGAGUAAAUGAUAUAUGUUAAUUACUGUAGAGGAAAAAAUGGCAAUCCCCUUGUAUAAAUAACUGCAGUUAAUUGAAAAGUGGGGAUUAAUAAGAAAAAUUAAGAGAUUUAGAUAGCAUUGCUAUUUAAACAAAAAAAAAAAGAAAAAGAAAUUAAACAGAAAGAAGAAAUAAUUAACCAUCCCCGCUUUAAGUAUCCUUGAAUACCCUUGAAUAUCUUUCGCAUAUUUCGGGUUAAGUAUUUUACUUCACGUGAAAGUGUGAUUGGGCUUGGACAGAAAUCCAUUUUAAAUGCAAAUUACCCCUCUAAUUAAAUAAGAAGUGCUUCAGUACGCUCUUCAAAACAAAUAAUACCAUAAGCAAUUAAUUCUAAGCGUAUAUCAAAUCCACGGAAGCAGUAAUUCGCUAUGAACAUUCCCAACAUAAUUAAUUGGCUUCAAGUGACAAGCAUAAAGCCAGAAUCAGUGAUCAUUCUCGGAUAUACAAGAAAAGAAUGCCAUGUAAUGUACUGAUAAACACAUAAAUGUCAUGAUGAGGGUACGUCUACGGGGUUGUGGGCUUCAAUAUCCACGUGCCGUAUGCCAGGAACGAGGUCCUGGAUCUCCUUCUCUAGUCUAUCAACUUCAGUUCCUAAAGCUGUAACAACUUCCUCGCCUGCACCAAGAACUCGAUGUUUAAAACAUUCCAAGCACAAUUCAAGUUAUACAACAAACUGCAUGCAUACCAUAGUUUGACAUGAUUUUAAGCAAGGCUGCGUCGUCCUUCUCCUUUGCAGCUUCACGAAACUGUCAUCGGAGCCAGUCGGACAGAUAGAAAUAGUUAAUGAUAUUAACUUGUGAAGUAUGGCAUGUGUCAAUUCAACAAGGGAGUUGGAAGUAAAAUAUAUGCACGUAAUGAAUUUGUAAGCGUUAGGACUCGCAAAGUUAAUAGUUACCAAAACAUUGGACUGUAUCAGUUUCUAAUAUGCAUGUGAUACAUUUCAAAAUAAGAAUGUGAAGUAAUAUAAAGUACAGACUAAGAUGAUUAACCUGUUUGGCCCAAGCUUCACGUCCGGUUCUCUUUAGAUAAUUCUGUACAACCAUCACUCCGUUGAAAUCUGUUUCAAUUCAGCCAAACAUAAUCGUAUCAUAUUAAUACACCACUAAUGCCAAAUUAAUUCACAUUAAUGAAACUAAAUUUCAUGAGUGGCAUAGCUGAAUAAUGCCUGCUUCUUUCCACUUUCAAUACAUGAUUAAAAUGAUUUCUUAUCAUUACACAUAAAGUUUGCAUCUAUGUAGGCAAUUAAUCAUCACAAAUAUAUGCUGUGUACUCCAUAUUAUCUAUAUGAAUUUACAAAUGCCAAAGCAGCUCAUAUGGAUUGUAAACUAAGAAUAUUAUCAGAGAAAUUCACACCUCUUUACAGAAACAACAAGCUACUACUCUUGCAAAGAUUUCUACAAAAAUGUAGAUACCAAAUGUAACAGAGACGACAUGUUGUUGACAAUAAUCAGAUAUUGAUGUUGACAGAAAUUAACUCUCUGACAAAUCAGCAAAAGUACGAGCUAACACAGGGAAGAUUGGAAACAUUGACAGAUAUAUUGAUUUUAGAAGGAAAUUCAGGAAACGAAGUUCCAAGAAAAAUAAAAUUGCAGUAGGACAUGGCAAGAAAAAUCACCUAUCUCUGCCUUGAAUCUAAAGAAUCCCGGUCCAAUCACCUCGCUUUUGCAAUCAUAUAGAGCAUCUACAACCUGCCAAAAUUUUAGAUUUUCAAACAUGGGAAUAAUGCACAGAACAAAUGUAGUCGUAGACUUAUCUUACAUGAACAUACCGGAUCAUUUUUCAAGAAAUGGAGAAUCUUCUCCAUAUCAUGGUCAUCCAUAGCCCUACCAAUCAAAGCAUGACGAUUCCUUUGUAUUAGAAAUAUAGCCACCUGCAUAGGAGAUACAGUUCAUUACCUAUAACAAUAGUCAAAAUUUUAUUAGUUGUUCUCUUGUCAAUAUAAUAUACUAAACAGCGAUAAGAACAGUCAAAUCUGAUGACAGUUCCAAGAUAAGCCUGACCAUCAGAUAUUAUUGAUAAAAGAACAGUAAUUUCUGCAUGGCCAAUUCAUUAUUUAGAGCAUCAUUCAAAGUGCAGCAAGCAAUCUUGCUUUUGCCACUAUUCCUCCUCUUCUACUCUAACUAAUAAUACAAAACAAGCCAUUUUCAUAUUUUCAUAUUCAAAAUUUCUAAUUUUAAUAGCCAUUGGGGCUUAAAUUUACAAUUAAACAGAUUCCUUCAACCAGCUCUUUUAAUCACACUUAUCACUUUCUGUAACAAUCUUAGUUACCAUUUUUGGGAGCCUAUCUCCAAAUUCAAAUAAUCAGUAAAUGUAUAAAUUCCAUAUUCAUACAGAUAUAAUUUUUUUUUUUCAAAAAUGCAUUUUAUAUUUUAAAGUUUUUUCUUUCGAGUUACCAUGCAGCCACCUGAUCUCACCGUAAAUUAAACUAAAUCCCUCUCCAAAGUUGGUGUGAGUAGGAUUCAAACUUUUCACCUCUUCAUUUCACUAACAGGCCACGAGGCCAAACUAGCUGGAGUGUUCCCUUGAGGACUUCGUACAGAUCUAUUCAUGAGAUCAAUAAAAACUAAAAACAUAAAUGAGCAGUAGAAAACGGAAUUGAGAAACAAGGAUCCUGUUUCAGUAAGAUUUGAACUUAAAAGCAACCCAAGCUGCCAAUCUUUCUGUAGCUUGAAGCAGCAUGGCUGAAUGGUGAGGUACCAUAUGACAAAGCAUACAUAAGUCAUCAUAUAGCAUUCUCUAUUUUUGAAUUGUCAAUUCUUUGAAAUUGGGUACCUAUUUAAAGCUUGGAAGAAGUUGGUUGAAACUUAACAAAAGAACCCUUUCCUUUAAGGGUUGAUAAUACAUUUUCAGAAAGGUCCAAGAUGUCUCAGCUGAUGCCAUUUUCUCAUUGAUUUCUGAGUGACAGAACUAUAAUGCAUGUCUCAGAGAACCAAUUACUUUUAGAAAGUGCCUUUUCCUUGCUCCAAAUGGUAAAAUAAGAGCACAUUAGAAGUUCACAUGAUACAAUAAAACUUCUCUAUAGUAAUACUCUGUAUAAGAAUAACCUUCAUAUAGUCAUAAAAAAUUAUUAUCCCGAUUUGGGCCAGUUAUAAAAAAAAAUAAAGUCCACAUUGUAAUAAGUUACAAUUUUCUAAAUCCUAUUCUAAGGACAUUACCUCUAUAUAGUAAUAAUUAACUGAAUAUUCUAAAAAUAUAUAUACUAUACAACAUUAGAGGUUUUAGAUGGAAAAAAAAAAAAAAACUUUCUAAAGUUGUUAAGGGCAAUAUUUAUUUAGAUUCUUAAGAUUAUUUUGCAUAUUUUCCAGCAUUACAGAAAUUUUAUGUACUAGUAUUUUGAAAUUAUGUCUCCCUCUUUUAUCAAAGUCUAUAAAUUGGAUUUGACAUGCCCAUUAACUAUAUUAUCAAUAUAGUGUGUGUUUUACCUCUAUAUCACUUACACUAAGGAUAAAUGAGUCAAAAUAAUAAUUUUUGUAACUACACCUCUGUUAAGUUAUAACCUCAUAGUAAUAAAUUAGUUUGGUCCCAACAUUGCGACUACAAAGAGCUUUUACCGUACUAUCAUGUGGAGAUUUCCAACCUCGGGACUUUCUAAUGCAUGUAUAAGUGAAUUAAUUAUUUUGGAAAAAAAUAAUACCAUUCCAAGAAGGUUUCCAACUAUAAUUGAACCAAUUGGGUCAUAAAUUGCAUUUCCUGUGACAUUAACUGCAAUCAAUGAUGCUCCAGCUAUAACAAGGCCGGUAACUGCAGCACCAUCCUGCAUAACAGAAAUCAUUUAUUAGGGGUCCCAGACAAGGAGAAUAGUUGCAAUGUAUAUAUAGUAUCAGACAUAACUAGAGAACAAAUUAUCAGCAAUCAACCAAAAUAUAUUUUUUUUAAUUUGAAUUGCAAUAUGUAGUUAAUUGCAGUAAAGAUGAUUAGGGACAUACACGGCUAUACAAAGAUUCACAAACAAUGUGCACACACAUGGUAGGAGGAUGAAUUGUGUACAAUUGCUUAUCUAAACUAACAGUGAAGAAUACACAAUAAAUACCUCUGUCAUAACAGCAACAGAUGUAGGGUCAUGACCACGCCAGAUAUAGUCUCUUAUUGUCAUACCUUCUGCAGCUGCUCCUUUCUUGACAGCUUGUAUCGCAACAACAAGAGAAGCACCUGUAGGAAAGUAUAACGAACUUAAAUCAGGAAAAGACGAAGAUCAAAAGGUAAAAACUAGCCUCUUCAGACCAUGUUGUUAACCUAAAAUCACAGUCUGUGAGCUAUACCUUCAAUGAUAAAUGAACCACAAAUCACCAAAGCUGCAUAUUUCAUAUUUUCAGGAGCCUGUAGAAAAAACACGCAAAACUAUAUAAAUAUGCGUAUGUUAAGGUACCACAGAAUAUUUAGAAUUUUGGAUGACAUAAUUUGUUUCAUUACCUCUGCAGUCCACAAGUGUUGAAUUCCAUUGACAAUUGUAGCACCAGAACCAAGACAAAAGAUCCCGACAGCUGAUAUCAAAGACCAAACAAAUCGUUCCUUGGAAUAGCCAUAACUGUACAAUUGGGGGGAAAAAAAAGUAAAUCAAUUCAGUGCAUUCUUAUAACAAAAAUAACACCUACGUCUUCACUCUAAACAUGAAUGAAAAUUUCUGUCUCCAUGGAGUAAAGUUUAAAAAAUAGAAAGCACUAGUGUCCUUUGGCUAACGUACUCAAAAAAAAAAAAAACAAAUUGCAAAACAUAUGUAGCCUGAAAUCCAGAAACAAAUUUAUACAUGAGAUGAAGUGCUGAAAGAUUGAAAAACAAGGAAAAUGCAGGCGAUUUAUUGUAAAUGAUGAUGGCUUAUGAUGUAGAAAACUUACGGAUGAAGAGCAUCAGGUGCACGCCUGGAGCUACUCAGACCAUAAGCUAGAAGCACCUGCAAUUUUAAUAAGAAUUAUUUUCUCUGCAAUGAGUAAUAUAUGAGUUGAUUUAAUUUAAAGGAAGAAAGAAAACACGUGCAUCUGCUAGCCUCGUUCCGAAGAACCUUCAAGACAAGUACCUGAUUAGCAAAGUCCGCAACCGAAUGCACAACUUCAGCCAGCAUAACAUGGCUAGAGGUCCCUAGCCAGACCCCAAACUUGAGAGAGAAGACAAGGAAAUUGCCCCACAAUGCAGUCGUAACCGCUCUUUGACUAUAUACAGAUUUGAGGAGACGAUAAUAGCAAGAAACAAAUCAGAUAAGUUUUAAGGAAAAAAAGAGGACAAAUAUAACAGUAUUCAGCACAUUCAUGUUAGUAAUACAUGGCAGUAAAAUAUAAUACAGGAUAGCAAAAGAGAAGCACCAGCCAUCUUGUGUAUACAACCAGAUCAGAUUGAUCAUAACCAUGUUCAAUGUUAGUAAUUUAUUUCUUCUUGCAAUUAUUAGGAUGGUCUUUUUUCCAGUUAGUUUCUUUAAAUAAAUAUAUCAUUUCAAUCGGUCAUUGUCUGGUAGACAAACAAUACCAAAGAUUAAAUUAUUGUUUAAGUUCUCAACUAAACCUGUUUAUCCUCUUAUCACCUAUUUCCCAGUAACAUAACAAACACAGGAAUACUUACAAACAACCAAAUUUACUCUAAUAGUAUUUGAACCAUGAUGUUCUAUGGCAUAACAAGAUUAAACAGUGAUGCAUAAAAAAGGCACGGACUAAGCAUCAGCAUCCACAGAAAUUGACAUUAUCAACACUUGUUGGUACAAGCACAGGUUCCAAUUCUUGUCAGAGUGCAUGCAUCUCAAAUCAAUUGGCUAAAGAUUAAUCAGAAAACUAAACAAUAGGAGGAUCCCAAUCCCUUCUUUUCCCAUGCUAGAGUUGUAAAAGAUGCAUUUUUCAAGUCUUAUUCAACUAUAAAAAUGCCCACCAGAUGCAUUUUCCAAGUCUCAUUCAACUAUAAAAAUGCCCGCCUUUUACCAAAUUAGGAAUGAAAGCAGGCUCUAUCAAAUGCCUCGUUCUUCAAGAUACUAUUUGAUUGGAAAAAUUCCUCAAACACACAUUUCCUACAGUUCUACCAGCAUUUUUAUUGUGAAGAAUAACGUCAUUAACAAAGACACUCGGUACUGUUCCUAUUGCAGAAUGCAUCCAUGAAGAGAACUUUUUCUUUCUUUAGACGAAUACCACUUUUACAAGGUUGUUUACACAGUAAUGUGCUGAAUGAUUUGCAUCUAUAAUGUUAGUUGUCACAACAUUCUAUCUAGAUGAUUGCAACAAAUCAAUUGCCAAUUGAUAAAAAGGUCAAUAGAAAAGUAGUUUAUCAGACUCCUUUGCCAAAUUAACAAAUGUGCCUAUUACUCUUAUCUCCCUCCUUUUUUUCUCUUCAUAUUUGAACGUUAAACAUUAUCAUGCUUCUGAGAAUUUCAUUUCCAAAAGGAAAAAGUUUAAAAUAAAUAAAUAAAUAAAAAAACUUAUCAUCACUCAUUUCAACUACAUUUACCAUGUCCAUACUUGUUUCCCAAUUAUAACCAAUUAGCGCACUUCAUAAACCUGAGUGCUACUAACGCCACCACAACAUUGAAACACACUGGAGCUUAAAUAUCAUUCUACAAUCCUUUAACUAUCAACGUGGACUUUUGAAAGAGUGGGAAAUCAAUCAUCUCAUAACACCCAAUACUAUUGCCAAAUUAUAAAUUUAUGCCCGUAUUCACAAAAAAGGAAAAUAAAUGCUCGAAGAAACAACACAUUUAGGCGACAGCUUCAAAAAUUUUACCUGUGUUCAUCUGUAGUCUCAAUCUUCUUCACCUGCUUUGCCCUCGUAAAAAAAUCUAUAAUAAUUAAAAAAAAAAAAGCACACAUACACACACAAACACACACACAAAGUUAGGCCCCAAUUCACAUUUAAAUCCCAAAAGAAAACAAACAGGCAAAAACAAAAUACUUACUGCGAUUAGAGGAGUACUUAUGAUGUUGAUUACUACCGCUAUUGUCAAAAGAAACCAAACCCAGUAGAACGAAACGUUUCGAGCAAUGAACCGAGCAAAAACCUCGAAACUGAUUAGUAUGCUCUAAAAUGCUAAAGAAUUUUCCAUUGUUAUCAUUUAUAAAUACAUUAAAGGGAGAAGAAGGGUUUAAAACGGCAGUGCGUUUAGAGGAGUGGAGGAGGCGAGAGAGGAAACGCCAAGAUGUUCGCAUCAAAUCUAAAUCUUUUCUUUCUUUCUUUUUUUUGGCUUAAUUAAGAGAAAUUCUGAUAUUGUUCUAAAUUCCCCCAAAAUGUUCGAGAUGUUAAGUACCCACAUUCAUAUCGAGGGUUGAAAUGGAGUUGGUAUAAAGAAAGCUCAAAGAUGAAAGGGAUUCUUGACUUGAUAGCAGUAGCAGCAGCAGCAGCAGCAUAUUCCGUCUUCUAAAGAAGAAAAGAAGGUGACUGUCUGCGACUGAAUAUUGGGAAUGAGAAAGUAAAGCAGGGACAGUGGCAGCGGGUGGUGGAUGCAAAAAUUUAGCCCAAGUUAUUUUUGUAGCCCAAAUAGCCAAUUCACUUUUUUGGACUACGGGCUAAAUAAAAUUUACCCAAAUCAUAUAUAUUUUCUAAAUUUAUGUAAGAUUUCAAUAGAAUAUAAACAAAUUUUCUAAUCUCAAUAUUUAAUUAAUUAGGGUCAUUAAUCCAUAGAUUUCUUCAACUCCAAGUAAGAAGUACUUGUACCUUUUAGGCUUUUAGCUCAAUUCUUCAUAAUCGCUAGUAGGGACUAAAAUAUUAAAUUAUAAUCCUCGGAAGCUUAGGAUGGAUAAACCAAACAGUACUCUUCUCAACCGGUAGCAAACUAACCCUAAUUAAAUCACAUUUUUAUUUAUCUGAGGUAAUAGAAUUGUCUGGUAGGAAUUUAUGACGUGCAGUUUCGUUUUAAAACAACUACCUAAUUGUUUGUCAUUUUUGCAAACUAAAUACACACAUGAAUGAGGUGACAUAUAAGAUAUCCAAUAAAAAAAUUUAUAGUUCUUUUACAAAAUAAUAAUAAUAAUAAUAAAUAAUAAUAAUAAUAAUAAUAAUAAUAAUAAUAAUAAUAAUAAUAAUAAUAAUAAUAAUAAUAAUAAUAAUAAUAAUAAUAAUAAUAAUAAUAAUAAUAAUAAUAAUAAUAAUAAUAAUAAUAAUAAUAAUAAUAAUAAUAAUAAUAAUAAUAAUAAUAAUAAUAAUAAUAAUAAUAAUAAUAAUAAUAAUAAUAAUAAUAAUAAUAAUAAUAAUAAUAAUAAUAAUAAUAAUAAUAAUAAUAAUAAUAAUAAUAAUAAUAAUAAUAAUAAUAAUAAUAAUAAUAAUAAUAAUAAUAAUAAUAAUAAUAAUAAUAAUAAUAAUAAUAAUAAUAAUAAUAAUAAUAAUAAUAAUAAUAAUAAUAAUAAUAAUAAUAAUAAUAAUAAUAAUAAUAAUAAUAAUAAUAAUAAUAAUAAUAAUAAUAAUAAUAAUAAUAAUAAUAAUAAUAAUAAUAAUAAUAAUAAUAAUAAUAAUAAUAAUAAUAAUAAUAAUAAUAAGAGUAAUUAUUAAGAGUGGUGAUAUUUGACCUCCUCAAUUUAUCUCAUCAGUCCUCAUUUUUCAAUUAAUAUUAUUUAUUUUAUAAUUGGCCUUACUAAAAAAAAUAUCUAUUAUUUCUUCUCUCAAGUUCUCCAUUGAUUCACAAUUUGAAUCAAACGCUAACUCAUAAUCAAAUCCCAAAUAGAAAAUUAAACAAAAUCUUAAAUUUCUAUACAAAAUCAUAACCAAUAUUAGUAAUAAUAACAAAACCUACCACUUAUUCAUAAAUUUUAAUAAAAUCCAAUGAUGAAACUCAUCGUAUACUAGUAAAGGUGAUGUAUUAAUAGUGAAGAAGGUAGGCGGUGAUGGCAACUUCUUGUUGAUCAAGUGUUGGGGGUGAUGGACCGAUGGUUAUGCACUUAUACUAGAGAAGGACGGGGUUUGGGGGGAGGUAGAGAGAGAAUAAAAUAAAAUAAUAACUUUGAUUUAUUAAGGAUAAUUUUAAAAAGUAAUAAGAUAAAUUGAAAAGUGGAGGUUAAUCAGAUAAUUUGAAACGCUCAAAUAUAUUCACUUGAUAUUAAUAACUUUCUCAAAAUAAAGGAUGGUAGAAAAAUUCAGUCCGAACUUUAGUAUUUCGGGCCGGAUUUGGCCUCAUAACUCGAGCAUGUUUUCUUAACACUAGAUUCGAGCUUGAACUUUACCUAAACAACCCAACCAUGGCCCGAAGGCUGAAGAAAUUCUUAAAAAAUUAUUUUAAUUACAAUACACCUUUUAAAAUAUAUUUAACCCAUCUAUAUAGCAUAUAUUUUAAGUACUUUAAUCCCAAUUUUUAAAACCUAAUCUAACAAAAAGAAAAAUUUUUAUAAACUGUAAGUUUGUAAAAUUUAAUUAAAAAAAUAGAAAAAAAAGUAGAAUAUAAAUUUCGGACUUUUUAGCUCGAUGCAAAGAAAAUCCAAUUUGAAUCGAGGUCGACCUGACAUGGCUGCCAUCCCUACUCAAAAUCCUAAAUGCUCCAAUUUCCAUACCGCAGUCUCCAUUUAACCUCGUUUAUCUUCUUAUUCAUUCGUGUUAGAUAUGUGAAGAAACCCCAAGGCAAGGGCCGUCCAGGACCAAAACCGCUGCCUAUAUUACGAGGCAACCUGCACUAGUUGACUGAUGGGUUAACCAGUUACCACAUCAUGUGUUCUUAUAAAAUUAAUCAACCAAUAUGGUCCUAUCAUUUAACCAACAGCUUGUAAACAUGUGAGAUUAGCGAAAUAUGAAAUAAAAGCUAACGCCAAAAUCAUCACCAAUGAUUAUGCAAUGGGGGGAGAAUCCUGAAUGUUUUAAAAAUCAGAGCAUUUCGAAGGUUCUUUUAUUUUCUAUUGCCUUUAAAAAGGCAACCACUUUGAGAUGCGUCCAUGUGGCUCAGGAAGAAGGAUAUGUCCUGGGAUAUCAUUUGCUAGCGCAAGUAUCGAGCUUGUCCCUGCUCAUUUGUGUCAUUUCCAGGCAAGAUUGAACCUAAAGAGCUUGAUAUGAUAGCGAACAACGGGGACCAAAAAUCUGCUUGCUAUUGCUACGCCUCGCAAUAUCAGUAAUAAGACCAAAGAUAAACUUUACAACACUGCAUUAUCAGAAAACUAGAAUGGUAAACCAUGUAUCAUUAAUUCAAGCUUUAGCAGUGACUUGCAAGGAGGUGAUGAAAAAGCUCAAGGCAUCUCAAAUAUUCUUAACAAAAAGUUACAGAUUGGUAUCACCUCGCUGUUUAAUAACAGGUUGGGUCAGAACUCAAAACCCAUAUUCCUGUGAAAUAAUAAUAACAGUUGGCAAUAUCUAUAUACUCUAUGCUACAUAUCAAUCACCUUAAGUUCUAUUCAACAUUUUUAUCAUAGGGUACAACAUUUCCUAUCAGCUGAAGCAGAGAGAAUCUGUUAAAGUCGCAUAGUUUGCCGAAAAGGGAACAGCAGAAUUCAUCAGGCUCUGGAUCUGAUUUCGAGUACACCAACUUUCUAACUCUCUCUGGCUCUUCAUCUGAUCAGAGCCUGGAAUUAUCAAAUUUGUUCAACCAAAAAUAGAUAACAGCUAAUGAAUCCUGAUAUCAUCAAUGAAUCGACCUCCCUUUCUACCACGUAACCUGAUAUUUGGUCUAUGCUGGCCAUCCGAUCUCCCAGAGAUCUCUCCAUCAUGUUGGGUCACAAUUUUUAAUGGGUGGGCUUCUGUAUUGAAAACCCACUCAUCUAAUGAGAUCACUGUUGUGGGAGAGAAAAGAAGAUACAGAUAUUUCAGUGUCUCUGCAAGAAAGAAGCUUUGCAUCAUGUUGUCUUUGUCGCCAGUAUUAACCUGAGAAAACACAACAAUCAUUCAUAAAUAAAUAAGAGCACAUUAGCAGUAUAAAUAAGAGCACAUUAACAAAUCCACCGGCAAGGAUAGAUAUGCAGAAGAAAUAGAAAAAUAUACAACAGAAGAUUGAAUAACCAAAACAUUUAAAAACAUUUUCACCGUUUUUUACCAAAUGUUGGCUCAUAAAUGACCUUAUAGAUUGUCCCAAGAUUUAGCUAAGUGUCUGCCAAUGGCAAUUGCUUUUGUGUAUAGUUAGCAGACUAUGCUCACUAAUGCAAACAACUAUUUAAAACAAAAGAUCAAACAUUCUUUACUACUGAGGUUUAACCGUCAAAGAUACUAAGAGAAGUGCAUUUUCUAAAAAAGCAUCCCUAAGUUUUGUAUCACGUCAGCUUUUUCAUGAAAACAUACUGAAGCAUAUUUAUAGAAAAAUAUCUUAUUUAAUGUUGGAGGUUUGAGGUGUCCUUACAUCUUUCAGUCCAACAUAUCCUGAUUCUAUUCGCGAGUUCUUUUCGAAUGCCUGAAAUAUGUUCCAACCCCACUCUUUGUAUGUCUUGUUGCCAGUUAGACGCCACAAGUAAAAAAGUGAUUCAACAGUCUCAGGUCGCAGUAUGUUCCAUGAUGUGCCCACAGACAUGUCCUGAAAAUGUAACAAAUGAACACUGGUAAACAGCAGUACCUUAAAAAUUGAAAAUUCAUUUGAUAAUACAAAAACUACAAACCUGCCCAUCACGAAAGAAGUAAUUCUCUCCAGCCAAUUUUGUCGGUGUUGACUGGUAGAAGUUAUAACAUGUCCAAGCAAGCUGCAAAAAAAGACAGAAACAUCCAGUGAAAAACCCAUCUCACAUCAUCCUUGGUUUUGAUAUGGGAAAGAAGGAACAUGCACUAGAAGCUAAUGAAUGGUUAGGUCAGCAAUCCAAAUUAAAUUACAUUUCAAAUUAAAAAUUUUGGUUCUGGUUUAUUCCUUUAACUAGUGGCCUACUAGGAAAAGAAAAGAUUAACCAAGUAUGAGAUUCAUACAAAACCAUCUCGGUCUUAUACCCCAAACAAAUCAGAUCAUCUCCCAACUUCCAUAUGUAUCUGGUAAAUCUUGCAUUCAAUCAGAGAUUUGUUAAUAUUUUUCUCUUUCCUCCUCAACCCAAAUUAAAAAUCUCUCCUUGGAAUUGAACACUUGACCUUUUGCUUCCCAUGUCAGAGGCCAAACCAAUCGGCAAUAAGAGACAUACACCAACAGACACACAUAUUUUAUGUCCUUCUAUCAUUUUUUUAUUAAGAAACAGAAACUUGAAUUAUAUUCUAAACAAUGUGAGGUUUACAAAAAAGUGAACAAGCAGUCAAAAAAACCAGGAUCAGCCUGGCAGAACCUCAAAAUCUAUUUACAAAGAACCUUUCCACUCAAGCCAAAGAUAAAACACUCUUGACUAUAAAAAUCAAGACGAUAUUCGACUUAGCCCAAAACACUUCCCAAUUUGAACUUAUGUAAAAGAAAAACGGGUCCUAAAAUUCUUGUCCGUGAUGCCCAAAGAAAAAAAGCACCCUAAAUUAUUGCCUUAUCCCAUAAAACAGUUAACCAUCUUCCCCAGCCAAGCUUUCAAAAUCAUCUUUUUUCCCCCGUGUUUCUAGAAAUUCCUUUGACUUCAAUAACCUAUCAGUCUUAGUAGACAAUUUGGUACCCCAGAUGCUUCGUCCAAACAAAAUUCAGGUAUUUAUGAUCAGAACUUCAUUCAAUUUUGAAAAUCUUCCCUAGAGCUUUCAAAAAUUUGUCCAUUUCUUUCUUGAAAUUCCUUUGAAAUGUUUAACAACCUAUCAGUUUCAAAGUCAUGGGUAAUUUGGUAAUCCCAGAUGAUUCUUGCCAAACAAAAUUCAUAUAUAUGUGAUCGAAACUUCAUUCAAUUUCAAAAAUCAUGUCAUACGGUAACUUAAAAGGGUACCUUAAAAUUGGAGGUGAAGACAUUGCAUUAUUCAUCACAACUUAUAUGAGUUCACAAAACAAUGUUCUUUUUUCUUGUUCUUGCACAAAAUUUGGGUAUUAAGAUAUUUUCCGAAGUGAGACAGAAGGAAUACCUCUUCUGCAAGAGAGAGAAAUUUCUCAGAAUCACCGGGUCCAUAACCAGAAGAUCCUAAAGCAAUCAUUCCAGGAGCAAAGCAUGCUAAUUCAUCCAUCUGCAUAGGCAUGGUGUCAAAAUAGCCAUCAAUAUCUAGCAAUUACUAAUGCAUCCCUACAGUAGUGUAACUGAGUAUUACCUUGUCUAUCAGCGAGUCCCCAUUCUUCUCACAAACGUAUGUAAAAGACGAUGGUGUUGAUUUCCUAACCAAGCUUAAUAGACCUUUCAUUGAUGUCUCCCACAUGUCCCUGCUUGAAAGAUUCCACAACAAAACUUUGACAUCAAGAAAUUUAUGAGCACAGACACCUGGAUACUAGAGAGAGAAAAAGGUUGAGUCUUGACCAGAGCACGAUUGCAGACACUUUAAAUAUUAAAACAUGAUAUCCAUCCUGCAUUAGUUGUCAUUUGUUCUUCUUUUUUUUCAGUCCCAGUAAUUUUCCACACUGAAAUGUGAAUUCUACCAGACUCAUUAUCCUAAACGUGUACCAUUGUAAAGAUUUUUUUUUUAACAUUUCAGAAUUAGAAAGUGGUAGCUACUAUUGGAAAAAUAAAAGUAUAUUGUAAUGCAUUUGUAACUGACUCCUUAAUUUGUUGGCUUUAUCUGAGAAGACAGCUAAAGUGUAUGGAGCUGAAUAUAUAUUCCUUUUCACCAAAAUCCCAGUGAAAAUAGAAUCAUUUAAUAUUUAAUCACAUUGACCAGUCCAGCCCCCAUCACAUCUAAAUUUUACAGUAGCAUGUUUGUCUUUGGCUUUCACAUAAGAAAAUAAACUGCAAACAGCAAGCAGCAGUGGUUGAGUGGUUGCAGAUCUGAAUGCAGAUACAUAUGAGAACAAAAUCUCCUCACCUAUAAGGCUUCACUGCUGAAGUUUUAUUCCCCUGAAUCCAAACUUUGAGUAAAUAUUCAUAAAAGCUGCAAUAAAAUUUCAUUGUUAACCAAAAACUCUUAACAAUCUUGCAAAAUUAUACUCCUUUACUGACCUUAAGAAGUGAAACUAGAAAGUAAAAGAGGUUAAAUCAUAGAUGAUGAAAUGUUAAACCCAACUAAGAUCACAUAAAUGAUAGUAAAUGUUCAAGCGGAGAAUACCUAUCACCCAUGGCACCAAAGGUUAUGGUCGAGUAUGAUGGAGUUCCCCUGUCAGGACUAAUAUAGAUGGGAAGCAGGCCAUCGGCAGGGAAUGUUUUAUUAAGCUCCACUAUUACUUUCUCAGCCUGAAACAUCAGUUUGCAACCAUCAACAGGAUCCAUUCACCCGAACAAAUCAUUCUUCAGAAAGAGAAGUGAACUAUUGACUGAUUACUCCCUGAACACUUUUGGUCUUCAAACUAACCUCUUAGUGCAUACGAAUAUGAAUAAUUAGCACUAAUUUGUAAGAUGUCAAACAUUAAGUGGCAAGUUCAAACACAAGAAUGAUGAAUAACAUAUUUCCACAUGCAUAAACACAAGAAGAUAAAAUACCUUCUGCCGAUACUUUGGGUCACCCGUCCUUUGUGAAAGAGCAAUCAAUUCUAGUUGUUCUGUACCAGAAUCUGCCAGAAUGCUCUCACCCUAUGAAAUGGGAAAUGACAGAAGAGCAAUCAAAUCAAAGAUACAUUCGUUAACAAAUGUGUGGGACAAAAGACCCAGCACAGCUCAAUAAGACACACAUGAGCUAUCACAAAGGAUAAAACAAUCUACUAAGAGACUAGUGUAAACUAUGUUAUGCAUGAUAAUGGAACAGGUUUACAACAAGAGUCCGUGGCAUUUACUUUUAGCAGUUAACUGUCAAAGCAACAGAAAAUGCUGAAAGAAUAGAUGGAAGAAACUUUUUGAAGAAAGACAGAAAGCUGUAAACUUGAGAAGAACCACAUUUAUUUUAAGCCAACCAAAUACCUGCUGAUCUAACAGCAGGCCAGGAGCUUCUGUUGGGAUAAAGGGAAACGUAAAUAAAAAGAGCAUAAUCAACUUAAAGGAUGCCAUGAAAUGUGACGAAUCAAGUUUAAAUAGUACAAAUAAAGUGAACGCUAGAAGUUAAAGCUAACAACUUACCCCUGUCCAUGAAGGGUUAUGUGGAUUUCCAUGUGCUAAGUUAAUAACAUUAUAGGGAAUUCCAGUGCGAGUAUUCCAUGCUGGCAACAAUCUAUCUGCAAUAUCUCUAGCUUUUUCAAGAAAAACUUUGUCUCCUGAAAGGUCAUAUGCACUAAGAAGUCCACCUACAACUCUAAAAUAUCAAAAAAGAAACAAGUCAGCAAAGGAACAUUACUUGUCCUUUCCCCAAGCAAUUAUAAAGAAAAGAAAACAGCAAUUGCCACUGACACUUGUUUCACAAAAUAAAAUCAACCAUGAAUUAAACCUGAUAACGCAACCUUAUGGUUGUCUCGAAAACACUAGCAUCAUAUGACUUGUUGAAAUCCAACGAGCUUGCAACCCACCUGCAAAAGAAUGGCAUUAAAAAAAUUAGAUAAGUGAGACUCAAAAUCUUGUGCUAAAGAAUGUGGAGGUUUUGAGUCCUCUUCAAGGCAUAAUAUUGAGAAUGCUCAUUCAAAUAUCACCAACCAUUGGUAUCCGGGAGACACAUUUAAUACUACAUAAACAUUAAGAGAUGAUGAAAAAACAGGGAGAAUUAUGCAUGGAGAAAGUGAGGGCAAAAAGAGAAUGAAAGAAAAGUGCCAGUAGGUCAAAUGAGGUUUGGAGUCGUGACACAAACUACAAAGCUAGAAAUACAAUAUAGGAAACACAUGAAGAAUAAUAUCUUCAAGCAUUAUGUACAACUUUUGAAAAUCAAACGCAUCCAAAAAACUUGCAAAAACAACCAGGAGUACGCAAGAGAACAUCUCAACUGGAUGACAAGAAACUACUAUCCUGUGAAAAAAUCGGGACAAAGUUCGAUUAAUUGGCUGGAUAAAUUGGGACAAACCAUUAACUCCUCAGAAGUGACUCAUAUAAGGCUGAGAGAAUUGUAGAACAUACCCAGGUUCAAAGGGACUCAAAUUUCAAAAUUGAGGCCACAUAAUGAAGUCAAUCAACUCAUUCGCACAUACACUAAUUUUAAAAGUAUGAUAGAUGCUUUGCUCAAGAAACUAUCUUGAAUAGAGUCACUUAACCAGGGCAAUAGUAAGAGAAUAGACAGACUUUUUGCAAUUUAAAUUGCAUGGAAUUCAACUUUCCUAAUGUAUAUAUCCUGAUCUCCAAUGAAUAAAAUAAGUUCAUAAGGAAAUAAGCAAUUUCAAAAUUGUUAGCCUAUUUCCUGUUUUUAAGUUGCAAUAGCUGCACUUAUUUAAUAAGGCAGUGUUUUUAGAGGUGAAGCAGUUACUACUUUGCUGAAUAAAUGGUCUAUAUUGUGCCAAUCAGUAAAUAAGUAGAAUUUAAGCCUUCAAUAAUUCAUCUGUUUUGAAAAGGAGCAGGCAAGGUCCAUUUUAAUAAGCCAUUUUAGAACAUAACUUUAAAAGCUUUAGACAAAACACUUUAUGUUCAAGGUUUUGCAAGAAUUGGAAUGAUGCAAUAGAAACAUCAAAGGGAAAUAGGAAAAAAUCAAUUUAAAGUGAAAGAGAGAAUCGACGAAAGGAAACUCACUCUCUAGCUCUUUGAAACUGUUCAUCCAGAUCCAUUAUGUAUAAUGUAUCCAGAGCAUCAAUUAGUGUUGCUCCAAGACCACCAAAGCUGUUGACCCCAUUCUUAGUCUGUGGCUGUUCACAAAAAUAAUGGGAGAAAUGAAAAGGUAAAAUUAUCAUGUUACUUCUAAGGCCAUAUAAAUAAAAUUCAUAUUGUAUGUAUAUGGAAACUAAAUUCAAACUUUUAAACAAUAAGCUAAGAGUUUGUCGACAAAUGAUAUCUGGCAAGUUCAGGAAUUGAUGCAGAACUCAUCUUAACAUUGGAUUUCAUUAUAAAGGAAGCAUGUACAACCAAAACUGAAAAAACCUAGUUUAUAAAGCAUUGGUGGUUUUCAAAUUGAAACAUUUUCCCUAAGCCUUUCCACGAUCCAGGCAGCACAAGAAAAAGUCCAAACAAUGCCUGUCAAGAUUUACAGUUAAACAUGUACUUAGAAGGAUCCAGCCAAAAAAAAAAAAAAAUCACCCGCUUUUUCCAAGCGGGAGAACAUAACUGUUAUUAUAAAAACAAAAUAAAAGAGAGAGAGAGAGAGAGAGAGGAAGAGAGAGAAUAAAACUAGUCCAGUAAUUCAGUGACAACAAUAUAUAUGAUGUAUCAAAAUUUCUCAUUUUUUGUCCAACAAAGUUCGGUUCUUCUCAGUUGGGUUGGGGUGGUUUGACCACAAAAUGCUAUGUUUACACACAAGACUACCCCUUUUCAUGAAAGCUUCACGGGGACUAGGGCUUUGGUCCAUCUCAGCUCUGCCCAGAAGGGCACUUACAGGCAUUUUAUGACCAGCCUUCAACAGUUUUUGAAAUCAGGCCCCGAUGGGGAAAUGAAGAUAUAAAAAAAACAAUGAAGUAAACUUCUCCACGCUAAAAAUAAGUGAAAGUAUUAGAAUAUAUGGUAUUAGCCAAUUCACUCACAAAAGAAUAAACUAGAGAAAUUUUUUGCAGUUCAGUGCUUUUUAUCAGCAAGCAAUCAUGUUUAGAAUUAAAUUAAAUUCCAAACAUUUCAACCCAUAAUUCAAGUUUCAAUCUUUUUUUCCCCCCGUUUGUGUCAAGUAAUGUUUUUAUUUUUAAUUUACAAACCAUGAUCGACAAGAUGUGUUUGUCGAACAUAAAUUCAGAGGAAAAAGAGUAGUCACUAAUUCUCCAAAAAAGCCACAUGGAAUAGAGAAGUUAACAAUUAAUAUAUCUAAUCCAUGUUAAUUUGCAUUAUCAACAGUAUAUAUCAUUCACUCAAACUUACCUGAAGUUCAUCUUGGCCCCAUGCAUACUUCUCAUACGAACUCCAUGCAUGAAUCAUAGCAUCCUUUACUUUCUGUUUUCGCUGGAUAUCAAUAGGAUCCUCCACAAAUGCCUUGUUUCCAGGGGGCUGUUUAGCUUGUUUUAUGUGAUCAAUUUUUUCAAUUACAUUGGCAGGGUUAUUCUUUAUCUCUUCCAGCUGAAAGAAUAAAUUUUGCAUCAAAACAACAGUUAAGAAUCCCUUAGAAAACUGCCCAUAAAGGUUGUCAGGGUGCUGCUCGUGGCUUAAGAAUUCACUUGUAGCAUUAUUAGUCACAUAAAUAGCAUUGAAGACAGAUAAAGGGAAAUAGAAUAGGCCUUUUGCAUGUAUAUUUCAUUGUAUCAAUCAGAAAUUAUAGGGCCUUUGGCAGAAGUAUUCUUUCUUUUUUACAUAAUAUGCCUGGGAAAAAGAAAUAAGCAUGCCACAACUGGGAGAAAAAUAGGUUUGUUUCAGGUUAAUAGAUCAAAACACCCAGAGAUCUGUUGAUCAUGAACAAUAGUACAACAAUAGCCAAGAUGUACCCAACCCCUCCUCUCCUCACCCCCAAUCUCCCACCACCCAUCCUCCUUCGUCCCUCUUUUAUCCAACUCCGGAAGAAGCAGAAAAAGGGAAAAAGAAAAGAGUAGAAGAGAAAGAUAAGAGAAUGCUAAGGUUGACAACUCCUACCAUAUUUCGCAAUUGAGUAACUUCUUCAUUUAACUCGGAAAGUUCAACCUGCGAUACAAAAGAAUUUUGUUAUGCAAACACAUUUCAGUAAAUUGAAAAAAAAAAAAACUUUGACAGAGCAAAAAAGUUUACGAUAAAUUCAUUUCUGAAUAUAUAUUGUAUAUAUCCACCAAAGAACUUAUGCUCACACAUAAAAUAAAUGAUAUAAGAACUUGCUUGAUGAACAUGGCCACAAUAGGGCAUUGUGUCAUUUUGUAGUGUGCUAAGUAAAUACAUUUUAAUCAAGAUGUUACAAAUAAAAUAUAGGACAGGGAGGAAAAGAAUACAAAAGUAAACUUCUCAUUCUAUUUCUCACUCCCUCUUUUAUAUUCCUCUUCAUCUUGUUACUCUGUAAUCCUCAUCCAAACCAACUAAUCUCUUUGAAAAUAACAUUUAGCUACUUUGUUACUUUAUUUACUUUAUUGGUUAAUGCCUAUAAAAUUAUAAAAUCAUGCUACAUAUGUGGUGGAGUUUUGACAAAUUACUUGUAAUGGAAUCAAGCAUCCUGUUUGCAACUCAAGGCUGACAUGUUCAAGAAACAACUUGGGGCCUAGCUUCUCCUAGCCCUCACUGUUUUUCUUACGUGUAUCCAUAUUAUCAAUUCUAGCUCGGUCUUCUCCUUGUUCUCCUUGGUUGCUUUUCGUGAAUACCUCAUUUGUAAUUCAGAUCAAACUCUAACAUGAUUUUCACUUUUAGAGUAAAAUAUAUGGAUGUAAUCUACUCAUGUCAACAACAAAUGAAUGACCAGGACAAUAAAUCCAUCACCUGUUCACCCAUUUAUUGUAAAUUCAAUUAUCCGUCUUGAUGUGCGAGAAGGGUGGUAAAUGAUCCACCCAAUAGGUUCCACAACUUCUCAUUGUGCAAGACGUACAAAUCAGUGUAGGUCUUUUCAAGGACUGUUGCCCCCUCUCAACUUCAGCCUUCCUCAAUCUUUUUUAACAACUCAAUGGACCCCUCAAAAUUGUUUAAUCAUCAUUUUUCUUUGUUAAUCUCAAUUGGAAGGGGGUGUUGAGAUGGAGUAUAAAAGCUGGUUUGGCCUUCUAGGGGAGUGAUAGAUGACUGGGUAUAUUUUUGUAGAGCACAGAAAAUUUAAGUUUUUGCUUACUCAGUGGACAACCGAUCAACUUUACUGUAAUGAUUCUUUAUCUUUAGUAAGUUUUCCAGUUUCUUACCAAAAGAGUAAUAAUUUAAAUAAAUCUACUUCCUACCUUAGGUGCUGGAAGCCUAUAUUCUUGAUGUGGAUGCUUUGGUCUUCAUUGGCCAUCGAAGUUCAAGUGAGUCAAGUACUUAUCUUGGUAAUUUCUCAUUUCAGAACGGAUCUUGAAAAUGAACUAAACAAAUUACCUAAAACUUCAUUAGUCUGUAACUGGAUGCACUCUCAAUUCGUCAGUCAAUAUUUUUCUCAUUUUACUUAUAUUCUAAUAUAUAGUAAUACGACCUCCCGCAUUGGUAACUACGGCAUUGGUAACUACAAUUCUAGCUACAAUUGGCUUCUACUCUUUCUAUCAUAAAAAAUUGCACUGAACUCUUAACAGAUAACACAGUUUCCUUCAAUGUAAAGUAUUCUUAGAUCCAGGUUCCAGCAUAAAUACCGGAUAUCGUCAGCUCUAACUGUCUAUUCUUGCUCAAUACUCACGCAUAAAUGCUCAAAAUGAGAUCCUAGAACCACCAAGUUCAAUGGUUAAUUUAAUCAAACUUCAGCUCGAUUUAAGAGAAUAUCAAACAAUCUACAUUCCUCGCAAUGAUGGAACGGAGACCAUUGAUUCUGAAGAAUCAAUAUAGAUUCCAAACUAAGAUCAUUGCAUAAACUAAAUAUCCAAUGCCAUUAUCAUCAUGUAAUUAACAAAUAUUAAACAACCAAACAACAUUCACAAUUUUUAUAUUAAAGAAUUUAUAAAAAAAAAUACCUCGUGUUCUCUAACAAGAGUCUGGCGAUCCCAAACGACCAGUGUAACAGAAACAAACACGAUCAAAAGCAUAGCCAAACGCUUCGGUCUCUUCAGGUAAUACGCCGGAUUACAGUAUCUCAAUUUGCCACUUGAUGAUGAUGAUGAUGAUGAUCUAUUCCUCGCCAUCUGAUUGAUUAAAUUAGAUCUAACAACAAAAGCUGAACUCCUAAAUCAACUAUUUUAUUUUAUUUAUUUUUAAUUUAAUCCAUUAUAGAUAAAGAUUUGUCAAAACGGAAGCAUUUGGAGCAAACGAGCGAGGCUGAUCUGAGAGAAGAACGUAAACGGGAACCAAAACGUUUCGAGACGAUCUUUUUGCUCGAAAAACGUUUCGAGGAUUUGAUUGUGUUUGUAUGAAAUGUUUGAUGGGAGAGAAAGAUAGGCGAACGAGUGUUUGUGAAGAAAGAAACACGGGAGAAUUUUACAAAGUGGUGUUUGAUUGAAGACCAAUUGACAGUUGACAUGUCAGCAGCCGAAGACUAAGUCGCAAUUCUUAUUCUUCCUUUGUUUCUAUUUCUGUGUCAGUCAAGUCAAUGGUUAAUUUUUUUUUAUUUUUUAUUUUUUGGAUUUAAAAAGUUUAUUGUUCAUUUUAAUUUUAAUAAAAUGAUACUUGCACGCGCGUGUUUUAUGUAUCAAGUAGAUUUUUGAAUCAAUCUCGUUGUUAUAUUAUGAAUCCAAGAAAUCUAGGUACCGUUUGGGUAUUGUUUUCUGAUUACUGCUUUCAUAAAAUAAAAAUAGAUUGAAAAUAUUAUUUUUAAAAUUUUAAAAUGUGUAUGGCAUAAUUUUUAAAAUUAACCUUGAAAAUGAGAAAUGUAAAUCAAGCCCGGUAGGAGUAUUUUAAAGAAUUAUUAUUAGAAUAAUUUCAUAAAAUUAAUAUUAAGUAAUGUAUAAUCAUUUUUAUUAUUUAAUUAGUUUGAUUAUUUUAAUUUUAAAAAUAAAUUAGGUGAUCUUGUUGAUUGUAAGAGAAAUUUAUUUUUUGGGUAUAAUAAUAGUAGUAGUAGUAAUAAUAAUAAUAAUAUUUUAUCGUUAUUGUUGUUGAUGUUAUUAAUAUUUUUUUGAGAUAGAGCGGAAGAAAAUUAUUUAUUUUGUAACUUAAUAUUGUAUGGAAAACAAGAAAAAAAUCAUUUUCUUAUUUUCUUUGUUAAAAAUGUAAAAUAAAAUUUAUAUUUUUAAAAAAUAUUUUCAAAAAAUAGAAAAAUGAGAUUUGGAAACGAUAUCGGAUCAACCUAUUUAGAAUUUGAUGAUAUGGUUUGAUGUUCUACGAAACUCAAUUUGGCCAGUGGCCUAUAAUGAUGUCCAUCGCGCAUGGUGGCUUUACCUAAUUACAUUCAAUUUAAAUUGGAGUCAUUUUGAUCAUUAGAGCUAGAACAUUUUUUUUUUUAUUGUUUUAUUAUUUUCUAGUUUAGAAUUGAUCAAUUUUUGACAAAUUUGAAAAUGCAUUUGGUUGCUUUUUUUAAACAGUAUCUAGUAAAUGAAAAAAAUAAAAAUAUGAUUUAUUGUCUUUUGUUUGUCUAAAAAUUGGAGACAACAAAAGAGAGAAGAAAAUGUUUUAUAAGUGAAAGUGUUUUUAUAAAAUAUGAAUAACUUUUUUGUAAUAACUAACAAGAAAAAUAAAAAAACAUUAGUAACAUCAAUUUUUUAUAAAUCAAAAUAAUAACUAAUAUGAAGGACUUAAAAAAAUCAUACAUAUUAUCCAAUUUUUUAUAAAUCAAAAUUAUAACUAAUAUGAAAUGAAAGAUAGACAAAAUAAACCAAAACUUUAAGAAAUUCUAUGAAAAAUUAGAAUAAGUUGAAACGUAAAAAGUCUUGAUCAAUAACAAACCUUAUAAUAACUUAACGCUAAUAUUAGUAUCUUAUUAAAAAUAAAAAUAGUAAAUAAAAUAAUGUAAUAUAGGAUACUCUUAAAGAUACUACAUCUCACAAUCUAGAUAUAGAUCCCCCUAUCUUACAACCAAUGUAAGAUACACUCCUCACAUGAACAGUGCAUGGAUCCCACACAUAUACUGUUCAUGUGAGGGGAUGUACCUUACAUUAGUUGUAAGAUAAUGUUUGCCUUUAUAUAUAUAUCAUCAAAUGAUCAAUCGUCAAUAGAAGUGAAUUAAUGAUUUGAUGAUACUGAAGUUGUGGGGUACAAUUUUAAUUUGAAAGGUCUUGCAAUCAUAGAAAGUCUUUUUAGUGAGCCCGUGUAAAUUGAGAACUUGUGGAGAACUUAUAAGGACUUAUUCGGUAUUAUUUCUAAAUUUAAUUUUUUUAAAAUAAAAAUGAAAAUAAUAUUUUACAGUUACAAUAUUCUAAAUUUAAAUAUGCGUUUGGUAUUAUUUUCUAUAUCUUGUAUUUUUAAAAUUGAAAACAGUAAUAUCCGUUCGGUAGCAACAACUGAAAAUGAUAAAAAUAGUAAAUAUGUAUUUAGUAGUACCAUUUUCAAAAAUAGUUUUACUUAACAUUUAAGUCAUACUUAUACUUAGAAAAUAAUUGUUUAACUAAUAUAUACCCUAUGAUACCAUAAAUAAUUUUAAAAAAUAAUUAUAGAAAAUUACAUGAUGAUAAAAUUUUAGUAUUAGCAUUAGUAAAAGAAAAAAUUUACAUUGUCAUUAUUUUUACAUUAUAAUUAAAUAAGCUACUCAUGAAAAACAACCCCCUACAUGUUUUUAAAAGCUGCUGAUAAAAUGGAGAAAAUUAUGAAAUAACAUGCUUUUACAAAAUUUACCAAACACUAUUUUUAUAAAAAAAUUAUAAAAUAAACAGCUUAUUAAAUUUCAACCGCACUCUCAAACUGGCCCACAUUUUACAACACAUGCCAUUUAUUUAAACAAAAUAAUUAUAAAAAUUACAUAAUAGACAUCAUGCAUAUCUCCUUUUUACACUAUGAUUAAGAGUUACUUGCCCUCACCAUCAACAUUUUGUGGAUACAUAUCUUGUUACUAAAAAAAUUAAAAAAAUAACAUAUGUCAAAUAUUAAUGAAACUUAAAGAAACUGCUCCCAAAACAUACAUAGCUUAAACUUUUAAAAUUAAUCAAAUUGAAAAAAGCAUGAAAGCCACUUAGCAAUAUGUCAUAGAUUAAAAAUUUAACAUAUCAAAAUCAAAUAUAUCCUACUACAAAUUUACCAAUUCAAACAAAGACCAAGCUAUUGUCAAAUGUUUUUAACUCAUUUUUUCAUAGCACAUCCAAAAAAACUAAGAACAAUGAAAUCAUGCACACACAAUAAAUAAUAAUUACUCAUUUUUAACAAACAAAUUUUUACAAUAAUUAGUGUGAAAAAUACAAUAAAAAAAUUGAACCCAAACAAAUGACAAUUUAUGAAGAUAAAAACAUAGAUGUGAUUUGACGGAGUCGAGAGAGUAGCAAGCCACAAAGAUGGAGCCGAGAGAGCAGCAAAAGCACCAAGAUAGAGUAGCAGCGUAGUGAAGACAAAGCGCAUCAGCAACAGCGGUGAUGCAAUCGAGAAUGCAACACAAAAGCAGCGGAGAUCCUGUGCAGUGAUGGCGGUGGCAGAGAUGCAGCGCAACAAUAGCAACGAUGGAGACGCGAGGAGUAGCGACAGAGAUGCAAGUAACAAUUAGAUUGAGAUAAAGAGAAGAGUGAGAGAGCUGUGAAAUCGAUGAAGAGAUGAGGAGAGAGAGUUGUGCAGGAUAAAAUUUUUUUUUAAGGAGAUUAUUACUCGUGAUAUUUACAAUCAUAAAUUUAUUGAGACCAGUUUACAUCAAAUUUUAUAUGACACUGUUCAGAUUUUAAUCUUUUUAAAUAUUCGAGGGACGUCAACUCCACUCCUACGAGAAAGACUGUCUUCACUCAAAUUUUGAGGAAGAAAAUUUAAAUUAAACAUCUACAAUGCAUCUGUGGGGGCUCUAGCCGCUGGGCCAAGCCCUAGUGGUUGUGCAAGAUAAGAUUUUAGGGGGGAGAGAGAGAGCUUUUGGAUUUUACUUAAUAAUUCAUUUCAGAAUUUAGUUUGUAAUAUAUAGAGAACAUGUUAAAUAUGUUUUCAAUUUUAUAACUGUUAAAAUAAAUCUAGAUUAUUUGUUUUAUAGUUUAUUUUUUGAGUCCAGUCCACCGAACAUGUAUUGCAUCUAUAUUCUCAAAAUAAAAAUGAAAUCAAGGGCCCAAAAACGCUACCAAACAAGCCCUUAAUUUCUUAGCUGAGAAUUAUCUCAUUUCCAUUAAAAAUGAGAAUUUCUCCAAUUUUGAGGGCAACCAACUGUGUUUUUCACUUUCACAUUUUUGAAAAACAAAAAAUGGUGAUUCGCUACCAAAGGCAGCCUUUUGAAACGGUAAAUUGAGACACAAUUAAUUUUAUCCUUUUGAUUAUAAUUGACAAAAGAACUUAAAAUUUCUCAAAUUCUAUGGCGGUAAUUGUGAUGCAUGAUUAUUUAGAAGAUCUUUUUUGUCUUUUUUUUUGGGGUACAAAAAGUGUGGGAGACUUUUGUAGGUCUUUGGUAUUUAGUCUUGGUGAUAGUGAUGUUUUUUAGUAAACGUCAGUUUUAUUGGUCCGCCUGCGGUGCUACUGGUGCCGUGUCCCUUAAUUCAUCUUUUAUGUUCAAAUCUCAUCUAAGACCUUACACUUUCUUUAUUUAUAAAUUUUAUAAAUACUAAGAUACUUUAUGCUUACAUUCAUAAUACGUUAGUGAGUUUAGGGUUAGGUUUGAUAUCAAAUACAUAUAUUGUAUUAAUAUAAUUAAAAAUUUUAAUAACAUACUAUGUUUGGUGUAGGGAUGGUAAUUUUUCCCGUUGGGACGGGAUCCCGUUUAGGAUGGGAUUGGGACAUAUUUUUUCAUCCCAAAUUAAAAUGGGAUGGGAUAAGGAUAAAAAUAAAUCCCGCUUUUAUUUAUGGGACGGGAGGAGGACCAAUUAUAAAAUCCCGUCAUGUCCUGUAUAUCCCGUUAAUAUUAUAAUUUAAAAUAAAAAGUGAAAAAGUCACAAAUAAAAUUAAUAAUUUAUAGCAAUAAUUACCCUUCAAAAUUCAGCCAAUUUCCUAAAUUAACACUGCACCAACACUGCACACUAAAUGUUGACCGCCCAACGCCCCUUGCCCUCACCAUAAAAAAUUUUACUCCGCCACAAAAGUUCCCAAGCAGCCACCCACGACUUGCCCACUACGCCUCUGCUAGCAAUUCAUCCACAAAAUUCUCGCUUUUCAGCCUCCACACCGUAAGUUAACAUUCAUAAUUUGGCUUUUUUUGUUUUUAUUGUUCACAGUUUUGUGCUCUUUAAAUAUUAUUAUAUUAUAUACUACGGCAAUCUAGUUGAAGUUGUUAUAUUAUAAUGAUUAUUAUAUUUGUUUAAGUAGUAUUGAGUUUUAAAAUAAAGGUUCUUGUGGUCCCAUAUUAUUAUUACUUUUGUUUUAUAUGGUUUGAUGUUUGUAAAAGGUUAAUUUAUAUUUAAUUCAUUUAUUUGAGUUGUGGAUUGUUGUUUUCUUUUUGCUUUAAAGGAUGGCUUCUCCUCCAGUAGUGAACAAUGAAAGUUUAGAUAAUGAUGAUGUGCAUGUUGUUGAAGAAAACGCCAAAGACAAUGAUUUAACAUCAAGAUUAAGAUCAGUGGUCUGGAAACAUUUUGAAAGAAAGAUAAAAAAUGGAAAAAUAAGAGCCUUUUGUAAGCACUACAGUAAAGACUAUGUUGGAGGUCCUAGAGAUGGAACAAGACACUUGAACGAUCACAUGAAAAUAUGCCCUCGGCGUAAACAAAUUGAGAUAACACAUUAUUCAAAAAAGUUAAAAACAGUUGAGGAUGAUCAGGGAAAUGUGAAGGUAGAGACUUAUUCUUUUGAUCCUGAUGUCACUAGGGGAUUGAUUGCACGUAUGAUCAUUAUGCAUGAGUACCCAUUAAGUUGCGUUGAGCAUGAAUGGUUUAGAAAAGUGUUGUCUUCUUUAAACCCAAUGUGGAAAAACGUAUCUCGCAAUACUAUAAAAAGUGAUAUUAUGGAGUUAUAUGAGAUGGAAAAGGCUAAGGUUGUGAGUUUAAUAGAGAGUAACCGUAGUAAAGUUGCAAUCACAACCGACAUGUGGACUUGUGGCUCCCAAACAAAAGGGUACAUGGCUAUUACAACACACUUUAUUGAUGAUUCUUUGACCUUACGGAAUCAAAUUUUGAGGUACUAUGUUUAAUUCUAAUUAACAUUGCAUUAACUGUUGAUAAUUGCACUACUAAUGAUCGAAUGAUUCAACUUCUACUAGAUAAACUUGAUAAAAAUGAUUUACUUAUGGGUGGCAAGUUGUUUCAUAUGCGAUGUACUGCUCACAUUUUAAACUUGAUUGUCAAAGAGGGGUUAAGUGUUAUUAGUGAGGGUGUUGCUAAAAUUCAUGCUAGUGUUGCAUUUUGGAUAGUUACCCCUCAAAGAAGGGAAAAAUUUAAAGAGAUUUCUCGUAGGUUGAAUAUUCCAUGUAGUAAGGAGUUAGUUCUUGAUUGCAUCACUAGAUGGAACUCUACUUUUCUCAUGAUUUCUGUUGCCCUGGAGUAUAAAAAUGUCUUUUAUAGAUUGCAUCAAUUGGAAGCACAAUAUAGGUGUUUGCCAAGUGAAAGUGAAUGGGAGUUAGCUCGUAUAUUGUCAAAUAAUUUGAAACUAAGUACCCCACAUCCAUUUUUUUUUUUUCAUUCAUAUUUGUGAGAUUAGAUUAUCAUUAGGUAGUUGGCUUACAUGUGAGCAUGAUGAAGUUAGACAAAUGACAAUUAACAUGAUUGACAAAUUUGAAAAAUAUUGGAAAGAUGUUAAUGGGGUAUUAAUCGUGGCAACAGUGUUGGAUCCUAUAUAUAAAAUGAAAUUGAUUGAGUUCUACUUUCCAUUGUUAUAUGGUGAUGAAUCAAAUAUUCAUAUUGACAGAGUUCAGAUGCUUUUUAAGGAAUUAAUAAAGGAGUAUGAAUUUAAGGCCAAAUUAUUUGUAAGCGGUCCUAGCGCGGGUGCUUUUAGUUCUAGUAUAGGAGAGUCCUCAGUCGUUAUGUCCCAUGUUGAGGAACAACUUUCAAGUAGGUAUGAUGAUUUUUUGAAAGCCAAUAUGGUUGAGAUUUGAGAACCGUAAGACUGAGCUUGAAUCAUAUUUAGGUGAAUAUGUCUUGAUUACUAAGGACAAAAAUUUUGAUAUUUUAGGGUGGUGGAAAAUAAAUGCAAUACAAUACCCUUUGUUAUAUACUAUUGCUAGGGAUAUACUAGCAAUCCCAGUGUCAACAGUUGUUUCCGAGUCAGCUUUUAGCACAGGUGGUAGAGUAGUUAGCCCACAUCGUAAUAGACUACACUCACAAACAGUGGAGGCAUUGAUGUGCGCUCAAAGUUGGUUGAAUGCUUACACAAGAGGUAAUUUAUUUUAUUGUAAUUUAUGCAUAUUUUAAAUCUUCGAACUUUUUUAUUUUCUUUUCUAGUCUUUAGUUUUUUGUUUUCUAAGACAAUGGGCAUACAACUUCUAGUGAAAAUCCUACAUUUGCAGAUGAAGAAAAAGUUGAUGCAGAGAUUGAAGAGGUAACCGAUUUUAUUAAUAAUUUUGAACAUUAAUGAUUAAUUAUUAUGUAAUUAUCAAAAUAUUAGUCUUACUCUAACCUCUCUUUAUUAAUUCCUGUAGGUUUAUACAGAAAUUUGAAAGUGCGGUCUUGAAAGUGUGGUUAGAGUAUGGAGUUUUCUUGUGUAAUGAAGUGGGAACUGGAAUUGAAGUCAACUUUAGGAAGAUUAUGUUAAUUUUUAACUUUUGCUUGAACUUUGGAACUUAGAUUGAUUUGGAUUAGCUUUGGAACUUUGAAUUUUUUAUUUCUUUAUUUGCUAUAUAUUGAUUUAUGGCGAUCCUUAAAAGAAAAAAUUAAAAUUUAUUUAUUUACAUUCGGGACUAUUCGGGAUAAUGGGAUGGGACGGGAUAUUUUAUGGGACAUGAUUGGGAUAAAUUUUUGUCCCAAAAAAAAUAAAGGGACGAGAAUGUGACUUUUUUUUUGUCCCAAUUCAAUGUACAGGACAAGAUUGGGAUUGACAAAUCCCGUCCCAUCCCAUCCCAUUGCCAACCCUAGUUUGGUGUAAUAUGAUUAUGAAUUGUAAAUUAUAUUUUGUUGUUAUUUGUUUAUUUAGCAUUAUAAACAAUAAAUUACUUGUUUAUUUAUAAGAACAUAUUUCACAUUAUAAAUUUUAUUUUAUAUUUUUAAAUACAUAGUAAAUUUGCAAAAUAAAACGAGUGUAAGAUGCUAUACGAAGUUAAUGAAUAUGAUAGAAUGAUUUAAUGAAUUAAACACAAAUUAUGUGGUUUGUUGUCGUAGGUGCAACAAAGUCAUGGGUCAAUUGUAGGGAUGACAAUUGUGCCCCCAAACCUGUCCAAACCCACUCGCUGUGGAUAAUUUUGCGGGUUACAGGUGGAUUUGGUAUUACAAGUGGGUUUGGUAUUACAAAUUGAAACCCACACUUAGAUGCGAGUGAGUUUGGUAUUAGCCCAAUAUCUGGUGGAUACCCGCAUGGAUAUCCGCUAGACUCGCAAUAUUUUUUAAAAAUAUUUUUAAUUUAAUUUUAUUUGAAAAAAAUUUUAAUCUAAAAAAUAUAUAAAGAAAAUAAUGCAAUAAUACAAAGUGCCAAACAAUCAAAGUGUUUUUGUACAAACUAUUUUUCUUUAACUUAAUGCAUGAAUUAUUUCAUUAUUAUAAUUUUUUCCUUCAGAUUAAUAUUUGAAAAGUAUUAUUCUUUGAAAAAUAUUAAUUUUAAUCAUUAUUGUAGGCAUCAUGUUGGAUGGGUGCUAAUGAUGGUGAAUGAAAUGAAGAUCUUCUCUUGGAGCUUGUGUUGAAUGAUAAUAUGAAAUGUAAUUGUUAUUUUUAGAUACUAGUUUGUGAUUUUUUUAAUGGAUUUGUGUAUUUUAUACUUAAAUUUGAGAAUUUGUGUUGGAUUGAUGUUGAAAUUUUAAUUUUUCAUUUACAUUGGUUAAAUUUAAAAUUGAGUAUGUUAUGUGGAAUUUGAAACUAUUAUUAUAAAUUUACAUAUUGAACAUUUGUGAUUUUAAAUAUAUAAACCCGUAAAAAAUCCAUCAAAUACCAUUGCAAGUUUGGUAGUUGUCAAAACCCACAGUGGGCGGGUUUUUAAAAAAAAAUUAAAACUCGCUGCUGUCAGUGUCCAUUACCAUCCCUACUCAAUUGUAAUAAUCUAAGUUUUUUUUUUUUUUUUUCCUUUUCCUUUACCGCAAUAGAACAAAAUCGGUUGGAUAUCUAAAAUUUGAAUGAUUUUUGCUUGAAAGACAAGUCCGCAUCUCAUUCUUUACAAUAAUAAUGAAUAAAAACUAACCGCUGGAAUUUGAAUCUUGGAGAAAUAAAAAGUUAAAAAAAUUAAUUUGAACAUUAUCCUCCCAUAUAAAUAUUGAAAAAUUAUGAUUAAUAUCUAAAAAUUUUGUUUAAGAAUAAUUUAUAGCUUUGUUGUUUAGCUAGAAGACUUUCGAGUUAGUUAAAUAAAUACUCUUUAAGCUACAGAGAAAAAUAAUGAUUAAAAAAAUUAUGUAAUUAAUGUUUUUCUUGAAUGAAAAAUAUAAGUUGACGGUUUAUUUUGUUUCCAAUAACAAAAAUUGAAAGUAAAAAAUUUGCAUAAAAUUAAGAUAGGAGUUAGGGUUAUAAAAAGGACUGAAAAUUAAGAUGAUGAAAGUGAGAGACCCUGUAAGAGGAUCAAACGGGUUGGGGCCCAGGAUCUGGCCUGUUGGGGUACUUGCCAAACUCAGACCCGACCCAGUUUUAGGCUUUAGCCAUUGUGGCCCAUUCGCCGGAUUAGCCCAGUCUAACACUAGGAACAAUCAAACGGAUAUUAAAAAUUCAGUGUACUAAUUAAUAAAAUAAGUAAUCAAUUAAUUUAGAUUAAUAAAAAAAUUAAAUACAUUUGUUUAAUAAUUAAAUGAAUUAAACAUCCCUUAAAAUUGAGGGAUCACAAACUUAUCUCCCUGUUGGAGGAAGAAUUUUAUAUCUAAAAAGAAGUAACAUUAUAUAUGGAUCGUACGCAAAUUCCCUUAAUAAUUGCACUUAAAACGGUCAAAGACAAAAUCUUGACCAAAAUGAGAAAUUAAACUAAACAGCUGCCUAUCUCUCGCCGCCCCCAUCCAAUCUCAAUCAUCCAAACUCUUUCUUCCUUCGCCAGCGCUUAAUCUCGGCCGUUGAUAUCCCAGCUUCACAGAUCGCAAUCCGACGGCCACAAAUUCCUCUGUUCUGAUCUCUCUUUCUCCGGCGAUUUAAUUCAACGGCGGAAUUCGCUUGUUCCAGUGUAGGCUAUUCCUAUUCCGGUUUCGAUUCGUCGUACACUCGAAUGGUACUUCAAUUAAUCGGUUUAAUUGGCUGUUUAUUCUACGUAAAUUUGAGCUGAUAACAAGAUGAAAAAAAAAAAAAAAUCUUUUAAAAGAUUUAGCUUAAAUUAAUCGGUAUGGUUCCCGAGAAAGUUUAGGCAAUUAGAAAGAGCGCCAUUUAUUGAUUACAAUUUUAUCUUUUUGCUAUUUUCUCAGCUACCGCCCUGGUUUAAUUUACUUGAUUCAAGAAUUAUAGCGUUGCAUCAACUUGAAUGCAAAAUCAGAUUGUUUCUAUGAACUGUAUUAAUUAAAUGAUAGUAAUAUUUAGUAUUUUUGUACUUGUUCUCGCACUGGCGUAUUUAUUCAUAUAUUUUAAGAGCGACGGCCUUUGAAAUUUUAGUGUAGAAGAGAGGAUGGAUCAUGGGAGCAAUCCUCAAAUGCAAAUGAGUGAUGAGCAGCAUGCAAUCCAUCACGUGAAUUAUGUGCCAGAGCAUGAACUGCAUCAUAUAAGCAAUGGGGAUGUGAUGGAUGAUGAGCAUGAUGAGGGUAAUGGUGUUGGAGAGAGUGAGGCAAUGGAAGGGGAUGCACCAUCUGACCCCGGGAGUCUUUCUGAUAAUCGCGCCGUUUCUGAGAUUGGGGACCAGCUAACACUGUCUUUCCAAGGGCAGGUUUAUGUGUUUGACUCCGUUUCGCCCGAAAAGGUGAUUUUUGGAAGUAAUGUAUUUUUAAUAUCCGUUACUCUGACUACCUUGUUUGAUUGUUGGGAUUUUGUUUAUGUAGCUUGCAGCAUAUUGAAAUUUUUUGCUUUCAAAGUAGUUCGAAUGUCUUGAACAUAGUUUGCUAAUAGUGGUUUAUGUAAAUGGGGAUGUUGCUGUGGUGUCUGAAGUGAAUAUGAUCUGUUUCAUUUAACAAUCGGCGCUCAGAUAAAUACCAUAUAAUCUUUCGUAGAAGUUAAAGAAAGAAAUUCUAUAUAUUUUAAUGGACAAACUAAUUUAAGUUGCCAACACAUAGUGUCCGAACUCCUAAUUAACCAAUGGAUCAGUUUCUUAGUUUUGAUUCUCAGAACUGUAACAUGUAUUUUCAUUUCAAAUUGACUUGCCAUAGGUGUCACGUAUUAAAAGAAUUCUUAACGAAUGUCAUUGUCAUUGAUUACAGUUUUCCAUUAUUUAUUGUCCUUUGACUACUGAUAUGAAUGUCAAAGACUACACCAAUCGAAGUAGAGUCCACAUAAUUCAAUGUGAGGUUCUAUAGGGCAAGUGGGGUACCCAUAGUGGUUAAAUCAAGCCCUUCCUUUCUGCACUUGCUUGGUUAUCAUCAAAUAAGUCUCUGUAACUAGAUGUAAAGUUAUGACAAGAGCUUUACCAAGAGUUUACUGAGAAGCAACAGAAGCCUAGAUCUCAAGGUUUCCCUUUCAUCUUGACUCCUUUCACUCUUGCAUAGUUGCUUUGUCACAUGCCUUGUUUCAUUGAAAAUCUCAAAGUGGCUCUAUGACAUUACAUUCCUUACAUAUCCUACUGUGUAUAUACCUUUUUGCUGCACAUGUUUUCUGAAAAUAUAAUGCGACAAAAUUUCUUGCUAGAGAGCAGGAUGGACUGGGUUAUCUGUGAUCCUGUUUUGGGCUUGUUGAAAGAAUGUUGUGGAUUUUAAUCGUCCAGUCCAAGCUAAUUUGAUUAGUAUAAGGUUUAGCGUCUUGUUUUCUUUAGUAAACACUUUUACAAUGUUAGGUUUCUUAUUAUGCUGUUAUAUUUGGUGAUUACUAAAUGGCAGCAAAUUUUCUUCUCUUGCCUGAAAUGAAACAUUUAUUUAAAAUAUGCCUCAAUGUUGCUUUCAGAUUUGGCUUCCUUUACUCUUGGCAAAUUGUCCAUUUGUGGGCUAUUCUUCUUCAUGGAAAACCAUCAAAGAGUGUAGUUUUCAUUUUGAUCCUUCUUGGGUAUCUUUUGUAGGUUCAAGCUGUACUAUUGUUAUUGGGGGGGCGAGAAGUACCUUCAACCACACCUGCUAUCCCAAUAACUAAUAACCAAAACAACCGGGUAUUUCAGUUGACCUGAGUUAUUGAUUGAUUAAUAUUCUUUUUCUCUCUUUCUGUUAUUUUUGCUAACCAAUCCUUGAACCAGGGACUACCUGGUACUCCACAACGGUUGAGUGUCCCACAGAGAUUGGCUUCACUGAUUAGAUUUCGUGAAAAGCGAAAAGAACGCAAUUUUGAGAAGAAAAUUCGUUAUACCGUCCGUAAAGAAGUAGCACUUCGGUAUGGAAUCUGCCCUUGUUACCACUCAUAAUGCUUUAUAUGAAUGAUUAAGUUGUUAUUGAUGUAUUGCUUUAUGUUGUUGUCUUCACUAUUUAUGGGGGUUUAAAUACAUGCAUUUGUUUGAAUGAUGCCGUACUGUUAAGCUAUUGCGUACCUGUACGUAGCCUGGCAAUUGACACAGAUUCCAGUAACAUUGAAUUCUUAUUUAAGUGAGGGGGCAUAAGUAAUCUGUCUUUGGACAAUUUUUAUUUUGUUUCUUAGCUAGAAAUUACUUUUUCCCUUUUCUCCCUCUUGGCUUCCCGCUCCAUGGGGAGGUUGUUUGAAACUUUAAAUUCUAGGCCCCUCUUAAAAGAUGACAAUUUACUGCCAGUCAAAGCUAUUUGAAAGACAGUAAAAGGUGAAGAUUUGUAUUUGUGCCCCGCAGCUGUGGCCCUCCAAAGGAAAACAAAAAUCCAGCAAUAAAUUUAACAGAAUAAUAAUGAACUCUGUAUUUGCUGAGACGCCUCUCAAUAUAGGCAUCCUCAGUUGUGACUGACUUAAGACUUAAACAAUUGUCUUUAAAUCUUUUUUUCUCAAUAUUGGCAUUCCUAUUACUUGCUUAUUAUGAUGUGGCUUGCCUUGCUUACAUGCUUGAUACGCAUCAUUCCAUCCUUGGAUUAAGUUUGAUGUAAUCAUCUAGGACAGAGGGGAUGUAUUGAAAGAACAAGAAUUAGAAUGUGUUAUUCUAGAUAUCAUCUUCAAUUCUCUUUCUCUAUCUUUCUCCUUCUUCUACCUCCUCAUUCCAAGUUUACCCAAUACUGCUGUACGGCCAAGGCGGAUGUACGGUACAGCAGGGAAAUCAAGUUCCUAGAGGGAUCCGGUUUAAUGAAAAGUACCUCAUAUGUUUUGAUAGCAGUUUUGGAACUUUUUUUUAGUUGCUUCUCUGGAUUUGAUUUGAGAGAUUUAGAAGCGUUCAAAUUUGAUGAAAGUUGUUGUGGGUUGAAUGAUUGGUUAGUCCUUGGAUGGAGAAGCCUUAUGUGAGCAUAAAAUUGUUCAGGCUUUGAAUAUUAUAAUAGAAAAUAUGUUAUGCUCUGGUUCACUUUACCACACUGCUACAUUAAACAAUGCUGGCUCUCUUUUGUUUGGCCUGAUGUUAAUAUGGAUUGUGAGCUUGGCAUGUUAUAUUGUUAUCUCAGCCAGUAGCAUUGUGCCCUACAGCUUCUGCUCUUGGCAAUUCUUCAAGUCUGGAAUCCCAGGCCAGUCAUACAGUAGCAUAUUGUACUCAGAAGUAGGAAUGUUCAUCCAAUCUUUCCUCAUUUUUAAUGCGUUGAAUUGUUACUUCAAACUCCAGUGGAACCAAAAUUAGUUUAGUAUAUCUUCUUAUGGAAGUGGUGAAUAUAUCAUCUUGUAGAUCAGGAAACUUGCCCUUAGAGCUUUAUUAUGCUAUUUUUUAUGUUUGCCUGCGGAAAGUGGAAUUCUAAUGCUGUAAUUCUGGAGUUCUUCAUAGUCACCAUUUUUGUUGUUCUUUUAGGAUGCAGCGAAACAAAGGUCAGUUUACUUCUGCAAAGUCCAAUAAUGAGGAUUCUGCAUCAGCAAUUUCGAGUUGGGGGUCAAACCAGAGCUGGGCUGGGGAUGUUAAUGGAUCCCAAAAUCAAGACAUUGUGUGAGUCAAUGUUAUCUUCUCUGUAUUUAGUAAAGCUAAUCUGUAUUUAUUUUGUACCAGGGAUUUCAAAAUCUUCUUUAGUCGUAUAAGUAAAAUUUAGUUUUCUAUGGACUUAGCAACAAUUGAGACUGACAUAAGAGCAUGUUCUGUUGAACGUUGUUCUCCACGUAUAUGUAAUGCAGAUGGUCGCAUAGCAUUAAAAAAUCAUCGUUCAUAACUUGUUCACACUUAUCAACUCUGUGAAAUUAUGAUUUCUAAUGUUCCCUUGAAUAUGUCAGUUGCCGGCACUGCGGUAUCAGUGAGAAGUCAACACCAAUGAUGCGACGUGGACCUGAAGGACCAAGGACCCUUUGCAAUGCCUGCGGACUUAUGUGGGCAAACAAGGUAAGGUGUGAGAACUUGUAUGUGUAUCAUAAUGGCUGCAUGAUAUCUACAGUGUACUUGCAUGGUUGCAACAAGUGCCAUUGGUAAUUUAAUCUCUAAAAUUGUUAUUAUAUAACAUUCAAUGUAAAGGAACCAAUAUGAAGGAAAUAGAUCAAAAUGACCUUCAUCCUCAUGGGAAAUGGUUGCAUAUUAUGGUUCAAGAGAUUUUGAUUUGUAAUUCUGUACCAGCAUAUUGAUUUCCUUCUUUAUUCAAAAUAUUUAUGGACGAUUCCCUCAUCAAAUUUAUACAAUAACUUUGCUGUUUAUGUGGAUGUUCUUGUAUAUGCUUGGACAUUUCUGUCAAUAGCUUUUUUGUUCUCUGCUGAUGGAUGAACAUGAGUAAGCAAGGAAGGAAGUGCACAGUGAGAUGUCUCUGUUUAAUUAACUAGAAGGAUUCAAUGAAAACUCUGCAGGGGUAAUUAUAAGAAUCUUGUUGCACGGUCCUUUUCACCUAAAACCGUGUCUUGGUUUAUUUGGAGAGCAUGCCUAGGAUCUUUAAAAUUUUCACCCUGCAUGUUUUUUGUACUGUGUAUAAUGGAUGUGUAAUUUGAAACCUCUGAACCUUAGGGAACUUUGAGGGAUCUCUCCAAGGCAGCACCCCAAGCUGGACAGACUUCUUCCUUAAACAAGAAUGAGGAGGUGAGCAACCUACAAAUGAGUACUGCUUACGAGCGUAUUUGUUUCCUUUUGGGUUUAAAAUUUAGUAUUUUCUACUGUGGAGUUUUGAUAUACAUUUUAAUUGGAAUGAGUUGCAGAAUGGAACUUUAAAAGCUGAGCAAGUCAUUAGAGCUGUGGGAAAUAUUAACGGCUCCACAUGAUAAGCCAUAUUUGGCUGGGGCUCCAUGUCAAACUUGAGUGAGGCGAGGAGCAAUAGUGUUGGUUGCACAGCAGGGCAAGUAAGUUUUAUAUGCUAACAUGGGUAUCAGCAGCUUAUCCGUUAAUGGCCAACCAGGUAUCUUGAUGGAUGGACAUCGCGGAAAGUUGCAUCAUUCCGCAGGUUCCAAUAAUCCAUCGCUGCUUGUACUUGGUUUGAAUGGAAUAAUUUUAUCUGUAAAAUUUGUCUUGGUAGGGAGUGUUCUUUUUAUUUAAAAUUUUUUUAAGAGACAUGUUUUUAUUUAGAGAAAUUGUUGUUUUGAACUUGGAAGCUGCCAAGACAAAACAGAGGCUUUGUUGUGCAUUAUUGUUCAUUCUUACCAGUGAUUAGAGGAUAGAAAAAGUAUGCGUCUUUCAUUUGAAUUUUUUUUUUUUUUUUUUACACGUAUUUAUUUGUGCCUGUGCUUAAGGCUCCUCGAAGAUUUUGAAACAUGAUAUUGGUUAAGAAUUCUCUUUAACUUAAGGAAAAUUAUCAAUAAUUCAGGGAUGUUUCACAAUUUUGAAAACUUAUGGGUGUUUCCUCAUAUACGCCAAACCAUUGAGGUCAGAUGAUUAGCCUUUUUCAAUUUGAGUGUUUUUUUUUUAAUAAAAAAAGUUUUAAAAUUGUAUGGGGAAGGCGAAGGAUAAUCCCCAUCUUAAUAGUUACUAAAACCAUAUAAUUUAAUUAUGUAGCAGGGAAAAUAGCAAAAAAAUAAGUAAAUUAGUUUUGAUGAUGCAAUUUAAUUAUAUAAAUUGUCGUAAUUAUUCUUAAAGCAUAUAGGAAAAAAAAUUACGGAAAAUAAGUUAAAAAAAAAAAUUAACAGCUAAUGGAAGCCAAAUUAUUAGAAGGUAAAUGUUUUGUAAUCUCGUUGUUUGGUUUUUCAAAGUUAAAAUAUAAUUUAUAGUUUGGAUAAAUUAUUGGGAAAAAACCUGAUCAAAAUAGCGAAAUUUAUUCUCUCAUUAUUAUUUUUUGUUUAAUAUGGGCAAGUAAUCUGAUCGGAAGAGUUUGUAUUUUGAAAUUUUUUAUAAAAUAUCUGUCUUUUAUUGGCAGUAAAAAUUGAAUUUAAAUUUUUUUAUUGUACUAUGUGUGGAUGAGCACACUCAUCAAGAAAAAAUAAUAAAAUUAUAAAUUUUUUUAUACAAAAUGAUGUAACAUCACAUGAAUAAUUAAAUAAAAACAUCACUUAACUCACUUUAUUUAUUUUUAUGACUUUAGGCAGUGGCAGGUUGUAAAUUAUUUAAACAUCUAUCAAAGACAUAUGUGGAUUUAUUUUAUUUGCUUAAUUCAUUAACAAUCAAAUGUACCUUAAUUGGAAUAUUAAAAUAAUAUGUUCCCUAUGUAGUAUUUACAUAACCAAUUUUUUUUUACCAUUUUCUUUAUACAUUUUCAUAAACUUUCAUUGAUCAAACCCCAUCAAAAUAAAUCAAAUUCGUACUAUGUAAUAUCUUCCUUAAAUUCUAUUUCAAUCAACUAUAUACAUAUAGAUGUUUUAUUGCCCAUAAAAUUUCUUAGUAAAUAUUAUGACUUUAGGCAAUCGCAGGUUGUAAAUUAUUUGGCAGAAAUUUAGUUGCAGUAGAUUACAUAAUAUUUGGCGUCUCAUAAAAUAACGAUUGGAUUAAAUAACUUAUCUUUAAUAAAUAUUUACCACUCAACCUGUUCGGAUCCGAACAAAUCUUAGCCAAAUGAUCUAGUUUUUACCAGAUUGUUCCUACUAUGAUUAUACGUGGCAACUUCAGAAUGCGUUUCUUGUCAAAUCAAUUUCGAUUACUUGGCAAAACCCAUCAUUUAAAAUAAAUGUUUAAUUUCCUCUAAAGUCUUUAUCUACUAAUUUUCAACAAAUUAAAGCUACAAUAUGCAAUACUGGUGGCGAGAGCUGACAAAAGUCAAACCCUUUCCCCUUUUCAAAUCACGAGUGUAAAAUGAUGUGUUUGAAUAAGCUUUUAAAUGUGCAGUAAAUAAGAGCGGUCUAUUUGUAUUUUAAAAAUUAUUUUAAAUAUUUUAUUAUUUAUUUGUACGUUCUCAUAUUAAAUUUUAUUUUAUACACUCAUUAAACUACUAACAAUAUUCUAACUGAAACCACUUAAAUUAAUUUACUGAAAAAAAUAUAAAAAUUAUUAUUAACAGCAAAAUUAAAAAAUAAAAGUUAGUACAUAAUUACAAUAAACAUAAUCGAAUCGAGUCAAGUUAUAAAUAAAUUAUUUAAUACAAGUUUAAUUAUUAGUUUUGUUUACUAAAAAAAUAUUUUUAGUGUUGAUUUCUACACUCAUUUCUUUGCCUGCAUGCAAUAACAAUUGGGAGGAAAAAAAGGGCCAAUUGACAGAAGAAGUUAGGAGAUGCUUCUACAGUAGUUGAUUUGGGUUCAAUUUUUGCUUCCUCUCCCUCUUCCGAUUUUUUUUUUAUAAAAAAAUAAAAAAAAUAAAUCGAAACUCGAAAGGCAGACAUAUGAACAUCUUGCCGAUACUUUAAUUUAAUUUAGUAAUUUGAAAAUUUAAAAUGGUCUCACAAAUCUUGUAGUUAAAAUAUUUUAAAAUAUUGAUUUACUUAUUAGUCAAAUAACUUUUGUUUAAGAUGCUAAAAAUAAAAUUUUGAAAGUUUAAAGUAAAAGAAUUAUAAAUUAAAUAAUGAACGCUCAAAAUAAUUAUAUUAUGUUAAUUGAUAAUAAAUUGUAUUCAAUAGUAAUUUUUCUAAUGGGUAUUUUUAUAAUAAAUUAUUUUAUUAAAAAUUAAUUGUUUAAAGUAGAUUUUAGAGUGCAAAUAGUCCCACUCAAUAAUUAAUCAGAAAACAUUUACAUCUUGUAUUGUAUGAUUUAAUCACCAAACAAGCCAUUGACUAAAAAUAAUCAAAAAACUGAUGUGUGUUUUAUAAAUGCAUAAUCAAAUUGUGUGAGUACUGCAUGAAAUUGCCUACUAAAUCUCCAUUCACAUUACCACGGAGGAAUAAUUUUACAAUAAGAGAAUACUAUAGAAGAUAAAAAAAUAACGAAUAAUUUAAAAAAUUUUAAAAAUUUUAAAAAUUUUAAAAAUUUUAAAAAUACUAUAGAAGAUUAGAGUAACAAAUAAUUUAAAAGAUAAAAAAAAAUAGAUUUCAAUAUACUAUAGAACAAAUGUGUGUGUGUUGUUUUUUUUUAAUCUUUUAACUAUAUUAUAGUGUGUAUCUUUUUAUCUUUUAAAUUCUCUUUUUUUUUUUAAAUAAAAGAUUCUCUUAUUGUAAAAUUACACCAUUGUGGAGAAUUCCUUAUACUAACUUGAAAAAACAUCCACUAGCUAAAUAAGCUUUAGGCACUGUUCGAUAUUAUGCUCUUAAUAGCUUUGUUGAUGCAAAUUUUUGCUCAAAGAAUAGUAACAAUUUUUUGUUUCCGAAUUUCUUCUAUAGUAAGCUUUGUGGCCCAUUUUCUCCUUGAGACAAGGGUCGCCGGUCACCUAUCUUCUUAUAAUUAAUUGUUUUGCAAAAAAAAUAUUGUUAAAGGAUGCUAGGAUUGCCCGCGAUAACCUUCCGACGCCCAAGUUAACAUUUUGUACUCAAUUUAUAUAUAUAUAUAUCUAUAUAUAUAUAGAGAGAGAGAGAGAGAGAGAGAGAGAGGUGAUGAUGAUGAAGAUUAGGGCUUGCUCUACCAUGUUCAGAGAGAGAGAGAGAGAGAGAGAGAGAGAGAGAGAGAGAGAGAGAGAGAGAGAGAGAGAGAGAGAGAGAGAGAGAGAGAGAGAGAGAGAGAGAGAGAGAGAGAGAGAGAGAGAGAGAGAGAGAGAGAGAGAGAGAGAGAGAGAGAGAGAGAGAGAGAGAGAGAGAGAGAGAGAGAGAGAGAGAGAGAGAGAGAGAGAGAGAGAGAGAGAGAGAGAGAGAGAGAGAGAGAGAGAGAGAGAGAGAGAGAGAGAGAGAGAGAGAGAGAGAGAGAGAGAGAGAGAGAGAGAGAGAGAGAGAGAGAGAGAGAGAGAGAGAGAGAGAGAGAGAGAGAGAGAGAGAGAGAGAGAGAGAGAGAGAGAGAGAGAGAGAGAGAGAGAGAGAGAGAGAGAGAGAGAGAGAGAGAGAGAGAGAGAGAGAGAGAGAGAGAGAGAGAGAGAGAGAGAGAGAGAGAGAGAGAGAGAGAGAGAGAGAGAGAGAGAGAGAGAGAGAGAGAGAGAGAGAGAGAGAGAGAGAGAGAGAGAGAGAGAGAGAGAGAGAGAGAGAGAGAGAGAGAGAGAGAGAGAGUUUAGAGGGAAAUGGAUAACAUUUUUACACUCAGUUUAUCUUUCACCUCCAAAAGUGAUGCUUCAAAUGGAGGAGAUAUCAUGACAUAUGACAUUGCUAUUGUGAGUGUUAUGCCUUAGGUACCUAAGUCACUAUUUGUAAAGAAUAGACGUAAGUCAUUUUUUGUAGUGUUACGCACUUAACAUUCUAUCAAAGUCUCGCUUUUUAGCCAUAUUACUAUUGCAUUUUUUUCUAAGUACCCAAGUCACUCUUACAAAGAAUGAACUUAGAUAAUCUUUUAUAAAGUUACGCUCUUAGCAUUUUAUUGAAGGCUCAUCUUUUAGGUGCUUAUUUAGAAAAUAUUUCUAAGUACCUAGGUUCUUCUUUGUAAAGAAUUGACCUAAUAAUUUUAGUUGGUAGAAGUUUGCCUUGGACAUUUUGUCCAUACCUACCCUUAGACACUUGACUUAGAUUAUAUUGUAAGUACCUAGGUCACUUUAUAGAGAAAUGACCUAGGUCUUUUUAUAGAUUAAUGCCAAUGGGCAUUUUAUCAAUACAUGCCAUUAGGCACUUCAUUAAGAUAUGCUUAUAUGCAUUUUAUCAAGACACACCACUUUUCGGCAAUUUAUCAAUACAUGCCCUUGGGCUUUUCGUCGAGACACAUCUUUAGGAAUUUUGGUUGAUGAAGCUGCUUAUUGGGCACUGGUAGAGUUGCAACUAAUCAUCACAAUGGGGAUAAUGAAUUCCCUGGAUUGUUACAUGACUCUACCUUUCAAAUUGGGAUGAAAGAUUUGAGUUUCACUGGAGGUCAGGAACAUGUAAGGAGACUGUCAAUUCGCAACCCAGCUCAAACUAUGUCCCUUUUCGCAUCCUUUUAACUUUCAUAUUUUGCCACGAGACCAGAGUAUUUGUACUUAUCAUGCAUGAUGAAGAUAAACCACUUUGACCUUUUGUUAGGUCCUAGUAGAUGGUGCAACUGUUGAUGCAAAUUUUAGCACAAUAAAUAGUAACUAAUUUUUGUUAUAGAAUUUUUUCUAUAUCAAGCUUUGUGCUCAUUUUCUCCUUGAGGCGAGGCUCUCCAAUCAUGUGUUUUCUUGUGGUUAAUUGUUUUGUAAAAGAAACAAUUGUCAAAGGGUCCUCGAAGUUGUCGUCGGUAAUCUUCCAAUACUCAAGUUAGCCUUUUAUACUCAAUUUUCAGAAAUAGAAAGUUUAAACAGAAGCAAGCAACAUUUUUGUACUCAUUUGUGUCUUACCUCUAAUAGUAGGAGGCUUUAGCCUUUAUAUAGACAAUUUGAAGAAUUGAGGUGAAGGAAUUAUCAAACAUGUUGCUGGCAUUGCUUUUAUGAGAAGUGUUCACAAAGCGUAUGUAUAAUAAAAUCUAUUAAUAUGUGUCAAUACUUAUUCAUGACAAAUAUUCUUAGCAUACUUGUUAUGAUAUUUGACUAUAUCUUUAAUGGGCUUGGGCUUGACUUUGCCCCUUAUCAGUUCCUUGUUAAGAAAAUUAGUUUAGUAGCACACUGCCAAUAAGCGACCAUUUUCUAUGUUUUUACCCAUAGGCACUUAGAAUAUUUUGUAAGUAGUUGGCUUAGUUCAUUCAUGUAGAGAAUAACUUAAACCUUUUUUUUAAAACAAAAUUUGCUCGUUGGUGUAUUUGUAAAACUUUAUCCAUAGGCAAUUUCCUUAGAAUGUUUGUCAGAAGGCUUUAUGUAAAAUGUAUGUUUGCCACAAGCUCAUAAUUUAUUUUUGGCAUGUAGGCUCAAUUUGUAGAAAGUUUGUUUGGCCGUAGGCUUAGUCUAUAAAAUAUUUAUUUGUUAUAGGCUCAUUCCGUAGGACGUUUGUUUGCCUAUAGAUUCUUUAUGUAGAGUAUUUUCUAUGUAUCUAAGUCAUUUUUGUAGCGAAUAGACCUAAAUCAUUUUUACAUAAUCAUAUACUUAGGCUUUUUGUCGGCAUUUACAUAAUUUAUUUAGAAUAUUUUCCAAGUAUCUAGAUUAUUAUUAUAAGGACUAUGCUUAGCUUAUUUUUGUGCAAUCAAAUACUUCGGUAAUUUAUUUAGAAUUUUUUUAAGUACCUAAGUUAUUCUCGUAAGGAAUAGGCCUAAGUUAUUUCUAUGCAAUCAAACACUUAGAUAUUUUAUCGAUUCUGGCCCUUAGGCUGUUCACAUAGGAAAACUCUCUAAGUAGCCAGAUCAUUCUUGUGAAAUAUGAACCUAAAUUAUUUCAUGCAUAAAAUUUUUACGGUCCAAUUUUAUUCUGGUCGACUUUUGGGCUUUUUGUAAUUUAAAAAUAACAAGGGUUAAAGCCACAGUGGCUACGACAUGAAGUAGAAGUACUGAUUGCCGAGAGAGUAUAAACAACCAUUUGAAUUGGUGUAGAUUUGACAGUUCUGGACAAAAUCAACUUAGCAGGUAUAAAGUAUUUAGUGAACACAUACAUCUUUGCUUCAAUUGCACGGCUGUCCAAACAGCAAUUCAAACAGAGCCUAUAUCACCAAAUUCCAAUGGUUUUUUUCGUUUUUAUAUUCAUCAAAAUCCCUUUUUCUGUCCUUAAACUUGAUAAUUCGCUUGUGAGAGAAUCUCGAUGGAUCUAUCUGUGUUCUAUCAAUGGUGGUGAACAUUUGCUCCUUGUUCAGAGCCGUCAAAAAAACAUUUUGAAAUAAUAUAGUUUACAACAAUUGAUCAUACAAUAGGCAUUUUAAAUUCUACUUAGAGAGGCAUAUUAUAUGAAGCUCUCAGAACAAGUAAAUGCUUUCAAAUUAGACUUUUGCAUGAAAAUUUCUACAAAAAUAACUCAAAAUAUACAACUUUAAAUUGUCUGCGUCUAUCAACUUUUUAUCCAGGACUAAAGUAGCCAAUUUGUAAUCAUUAUUGCUUUAACUAACCAAAUUUUUUCUUCUCAAUUCUCACAGGUACAAAAGAAAAAAAGAAAUUAACAGAUGGCAUUGAAUUGCAGCAUAGAAGAGAAUAGGCAAGUAGAACAAAGAAAAGGAGCCGACGGGUUGUGGAAGCAAAAUCACCUUGUGACUGAGUGAUUUUCCAUUUAUAACAAUUUACAACACAAAACAUUCGGCAGAAUUUUAAUAAAUUCAAGCUUAUUCCACAUGGAACAGAAUUAAAGUGCAGCAUAGGAGGGAACAAGAAAGGCACAGAAUCAUGUGCACGUUUGCGUACGAGAUUAAAUGCAAUUAAAAAAAAAAGCAUAAAAAACUUUUUUAAUCAUGUACCUUCAUAGAAUCAAUCAAAUAGAUAAGGAAAGGUCCAACUCCAUAGCUUAACAGAUUUUUUUUAAAAAAACUGCCCUUAUCAAGGAUUGAUCUUCUGCACAAAUGUUCAGUUCAAUAUAAUGCAGGUGUUCAUGGAAUUCGUAUUGUCAUGGAAACUUGUCAAAACGAAAGUGGUCUAGGGUAUUUAACCAAUUUUUAAAUCUUUGUACACAUUUCAAAAGGACACAAUAAAUUUAUAAUUCUUAUUUACAGAAGAACAAGAGUACAAGCACAUAAAACAAAAUUUAAGAAGGCGACCAUACAAUAUACAGCUAGUUCUAUUGACCUUUUCUGUUUAGCUAUUUUGAAGAACAAAAACUGACAUUCUGCGAGAUAGAUUGCUACUUGACUAGAGAUUCUGUCAGGAUGUCACUCCGCAAAGGAUGAAGGCAUGAAUAAGGCUUUGUGCAGCACGCAUUUGAUCUGACGUCCCAGAGACCAUCACAACGCCUUCGGUAGCCCCAGGUUUUGGGUCAUUAACAACUACAUUUGCACCUGAGAUCUGAGAUAUAGUUGCCUGGUCAUAGUGAGCAUUAAUUGAUUGUAGAUUUUUUAGCAACUUGAGAAAUAGAAAUCAACAGCAUUAAGAUAUCUACCCACCUGCCGGAUGUGACUCAGGUUACUGUUAUACUCUCCAUAAACAUGGGCCAUGUAUAGUUGGGGGAUCACAACCUCAACGGUGGUGCUUGUCAAUAUAGCAGCAUGAUUUCCACUGCUCAGAAAAUAAUGGCCAAUCAUAUCAUUUACUUUGAAAACAAAUCAUGAAAACUUUGUUCUCCUUAUAUUUAUUCAUACACCACAUAUAAGAAAAAAAGAAGCUAUAGAUUGGCAACUUUCUAAAAUUCAUUGAUGAGAGCAUAGGAUUAAAAUCUGGCGACAGAAAGCAUGUGAUGCCAAGAAGAAGAAAUAUAGGUAUAAAAUGACAAGAACAUUCUGAAUUCAGUGAUACAGGAAUCCUUAAGAAGCUAGAAGGUAGACACAGUAUAUGAUGGCAUCUUCACUACAAUGUAUCUAGUACUCAUGACAUUAAGCCAAUUGAUUGGAAAAUGACCACAACAUUGAACUAUAAACCUAUUAGAGAAAGUGAUACCUUUCAACAGGCCUAUUUCUUGGGGUGAAGCCAGAACUAGCAUCAAAUCCCCUAGGAUCCCCACCACCAACUCCCUGUCACAAAAUGAGAUCUAGGUCCAUUAUGAUUUUAUUUAUCUUUGAUAAAAGAAAUAAAACAAAAGAAACAUUAUCAAUUACGUUAAGUGACACAUUCAUUAAGUUCAAACAAUAAGCACACUUUUUGAAGCACCAGGCACUAACCUGAGGGGUCCAAGAUCUCGGAGAUGGAGGCCGAUCAAAUGUAGGACCAUGCCCAGGUCGCUCACUGCCAUAAGGAAAGGGGAUUCGAUCUGAAUUAGGUGGGACCAUAGGAUCCAUACCAUGUGAAAAUGCUGCCUGAUGAUCAAAAGGUUGUGAUGGACCCAUACCACGGUCCAUGCUGUGGAAAGGGCCAACAGGUGAAGGAUAUGAACCAGGGGAGGCUGGGUUAUGUCUCGGCCUAAAUGGUGGGGGAGGCAUUUCUGGAAAAGGAGGCAAGUAGGAGUGGCCAUUGUUUGGACCGGGUCGUUUCAUAGGGAAUAUAGUCUCCCGUAGUCUGCUUGUAAUGUGAAAUAAAGCAUCCUGUACAGAAUGAUAGUUGCCAAUAACCUGCAAGAGAGUGCCAAUCAUUUAAUAUCUCCUAAUAGUGCUUCUUUAGACAGUAAGAGAGCACACUCCACCUGGAGAUUUAUAAAGGUUACAAAAGCUAUUUGCAAGUCAUAUUUUGAGUCACAAGACAUAAUCUGGCAGGAAAAAUGAAGAUAAAAGGUGAAAAGAAUUAGUAGGCUUAAGUCAAUCCGUCGUUGAUCCACAGUUAUGGUGUCAUUGACGAAAAGGGCCUCAAACAAGGAUUAUAUAGACUAAUUAUAUCGUCUUGCCAUCUUGUACAGGCAAGACACCAGGCAGAUAAUUCUAAAUUACUAGAAUUAGAUUUAUGGUAAAAUUACUUCCAAUGAAUCAGAAUGGACAGGAAUCGAAUGAAUAGGAAUCAGAAUGAGCUGUAUUCCCACUGAUGUGUUUCCUUUUGUCUUGUAAUCGGAAUAGAUUGUUAUAAGCUACUAGAAUGCCCUUAGUAAAAUUGUAUAUUUUUCUCUAGCAAAACAAAUAAGUAAACAUUUCUAAGGGAAAUACAUGGAUGUUUAUUAUAAUAUUGAGCAUACAACUAUAAUUUUUAGAAUAAACUAGUUUCUGCUGUUAUUAUUAUUAUUAUUACUCCUACUCUAAUAAUAAUAUUAUUAUUUUUCUAAUUUUUAAAUAGGGUAAAAAAUGAAUAUUUAAUUUUCCUUCCCAUUCCCCCAUUUUCAUUCCCACCUCCCCAUGAGAAAGGGAUUCCCAUUCCUCAUAUCCAAAUUUGUGGGCUCCACCCAUAAUCCAUUCCUGUUCCUUGAUGUUUUUAGCAAGUAAACAUGAUCAAUCAAAAUGAUUCCCCAAUCAAAGAAGAAAGCGCAUCCUAAUAUUCUUUUUAGGAGAAUGAUAGGUGAGAAAGUAAGUUCAGGUCAGAUGAUUUUCAACCAAGCACUGAUUCAUUCCAAAAUUUAUUCCCAAACCAACCCAUUGAGCAUCAUUCUCCAAACACACCGAAAACAAAGUGGUAGCAAUGUCAAAAUACAUGUCAAGGACAAUCCAAAAAUUUCUAUCUAUUCUUCAUGCAAAACAAUAGAUAAAUAAAUAAAGCUGAAGUGACUUUUUCAUUUUGAAGAGAUGCAUAGAAAUAAAUAUAUUCCAAAUCCAUUAAUAAACCCUGGAUCCAUCCACCAACUCAAACAUCAAGCAGGCAUUCACAUAGAGUAAGCAUGUAUCAAGAAAGAAAAAGAAAAAUAAAAGGUAGAAGAGACUUAAACAGAUCAAUACAACUAGCAGAAAAGAUGUUUCAUGCCUGUACUACUUGGUCACCUGAACAAUUUCAUCAUGCGGAGAACCACACCUUGGAGCCUGGUCUUUUGGAAAUACACGUAUACUAGCACCAGUAGCUCUCCUCAUCUCACUAACAAUAUGGCCUCCUCUACCCAGUAAACAACCUAUCUGCUGUGAGUGUACAAGAAGCCGAGCAACUACUGCUUGACCAGGUUCAAAUCCGAUCUCUGCAAUUCUUGAAUGCACACGCAUAACAGCAUCCUGAGCAGGUGAGUGCCUCAUCUCUGAAUUCUGCAGUGGGUCAAACCAAAUUGAAAAUGUUAAAGGAAAGCAAUCUUGAUACUUGCAUAGAUUCAAAUCAAAUUACUUAAGGUAUAAAUCCUAUAAAAUUUCAAUGACGACUUUUCCUAUUAACAUUGUAAUAUAUGAGAAGGUAUUGGAUUCUUUCUUUUCCCUUGUAACUUCAAAUAAAGAAGAGGAGACAUGCUCCAAGGACACAAUGCAUAUAAACACUAUCUAGAACUCAUUAAAAAGAAAUGUAGGUGUGAUCUGUUGGAUAAUAGCUCCACAUCUUCUGGUCCCAUCCUACCACAUAUAAUUCAAUGGCAUGUUUAUAUUAUUACUAACCCUGUAAACAGAGCAGCACCAAAGGGGCAACUAUUGAGGUGUUCAACAAAGCAAGAACAGUCACAACGAGUCAAUUUAGUGGACUUAUUAUUCUGACACAGGGAAAAACAUUCUCAGUCAAAUUUCAAACAUAAAAGCUCCCUUAUUACCCCAUCUGCAAGAAAAUUGCAGCUCACCACAAAGUCCUAAAGGAGUAUAAUCAAAUACGGUUAAGUUUCAUGCCUCUCGUGCAGAUAUCACAACGAUCCGCUCUUCUGAAUCAGGCAAAAUAUCUGCAAUCUUGAUCGAUGCGCCAGUUUCAUUUUGAAAAGUCCGUACUAUAGAUCCACCUUUCCCUAUCAAACUACCAACUUUAUCAAGAUGGCACAACAACUUAAACACAACUUCCUCUUCGUAAAACAUUCUGUUACGACCUCCAACAGUCUCGUGCCCUGGACCCGAAGAAUAGCCCCUCGAAUGAUAACUGGGUGCAUAUCCUCUCUGAUGAAAUGGUUCAGCAGCUGGAGGGUAAGGAUUUCCUUGAACCACCAUUCCUGAAGAUUUUGUUACAUUAGCUUUGAGUGCAUCGACUCUUCUGCUAUCUUGAACAAAAUUUGAAACCGACAAUAGUGCUUUCUUUACAUCUGGAAAGCUUCCUGAUAUCUGCAAAUUAGAAUCCAACAAAAGUCAUUAGAGAAAGUAACCAUUACACAAUAAAUACAUCCUUAUAAAAUUUAAGAAACAAAUUCAACAAGCGACCCUAUCCGAACAUUCCACAACAUCUGUCACUUGAUGAACAUGAAAAGUCCAAAACACAUGUUAAGCCUAUGUUUGUAACUAUUGUGCUUCUACUAAACUUUGAAAGCACGACAACUAAAGUGUUUGGCAGACACUCAACGUUUACACAGUCGCUAAGAUUCACAACCCACCCACUCACUUGCGUUUGGCAACUUAGUGAUUGCAUUCCACAUAAGCCAUGGAUAAUAGCAUCUAAAUACCUCUUAUCAAAAAACAGCACCUCAAGCCCCCACACACCCUAAAUGUAGCAAUUCCUUAAGCAUAGUUUCAUUUAUCCUUUUUGGCUUGUUAUUCACAUUUUCAAUUUGAAUGCCAAUUCCUGUCAAUAACACCACAUAUAACAAAAACUCAUAAUUUUCUAUUAUACAAAAUGAUGUUGCACAUAAAAUCAGUAGAUAAUUGAAAAUAGAUUUUGUGAAGUGAUUAAUGCGAUGCCACAUAGGUACUUCAAUGCAUGACUCUAGAAAAAAAAGAAAAAAAGACUCGAAUUUUUCAAUAACCUGAAUCAACAAAUCAUCGGCAGCAAAAAAAUGAUCUUUAGCUAAAAUCCUAACAUUAGCUCCGCUCUCACUUUCAAUCUUCUCAAAAACCUUACUUAAUCCUCUUCCAAUCAGCAUCUUGCACGUCACCUCUCUAUCUCCCACCACCUCCGCUUGCUCUCCUGCUGCUUCGCGCCUCACUAUCGUCUCAUACAACCUCACCAGCGCCUUCUGUUCCGCCGUCCACGUUUCCUCCUCUUCUCUCCUCACAUUCGGAUGGUUAUCUCUAUUGGCGGCGGCAGAGGAGGAGUCGGCUGUGAUUUGGAGUACGCAGUCGUCGGAGGAGAGGUCGUCGAGGAAGCGAAUCUUGGCGCCGGAGACGGACUCGACGUGUCUGAUGGUGGAUUCCGAUCUGCCGAAUGCGACGGGGCAAACGAGACGUAGUUCGGUGCAGCCGCUCUCCAUGUUUUGGACUUUUGGAGUAGACACCUCGGUGGUUAUUCCAUAUUUAAUAUUUUCACCGGAAUUUUCUUUCACAUUUUCAAAAGUUUAAAAACCCAUUGAGGAAAGAAACCUAGUAGGCCCCAAAAAUUUGAAUUAUUUACUGGAAGGUCCCAUUAUUUCAAGAAUAUUCAUCUUAGACUCCUUUUUAAUCUUUAUAUGCUAUUUGGACCGGAAAAUUUUUCUUUUUUAAUUGUGUGCUAAUUGGUUCAACUACUAAUUUUUUUUGGAGUAGUCCGUGCUUUAAGUCUCAAUUUAAAUUAGCACUUAGCAGUUAGAGACAACUAGCAAAACUUUUAGAAGCAGGUUAAUUUGAAGUUUGAAUUUCACUAAGAUUAGUGAUUAGAGUUAGAGACCGAGAUGUAGUUAGGAUUUAUGCGUUUGAAAUAUAAGACAGUCAAAAUUUAAAUAAAAAUAUCUAUAAUUGAAAUAUUUUUACUCAUAUUUUUGACGAAUUUUCAUAUUUUUUAAAAAGGAUAUACGAUGGUUUUAUUGUCAAUAUUAUCAAAUGCAUCCACUCAUUAUUUGAUAACUGAAAUUUUCUAUGAAAGAAGAGAAAAAGAGAGAGUUGAAACAAUCUAUAUAUAUAUAAAGCUAGGACUACAAGAGGUGAUGUGCCAUCACUAUUUCUCAUCUUUGUAUAUUUUUUAUUAUUUAAUAAAUAGAGAUAUUUUCUUUCAAAUUUGGUUUUUCAUCUUCUCAUAAUUAAUUUGAUUGUUAUUACACAAUAACAAUUAUGUAAAGGUUUUAAUGAGGCAUAUUCUUUGUAAUGAACAUCCAAGGGGGAGUUUAUAAAUUUAUUAAAAUAAAUGUGGAUGUUCAUAACAUAUAUCUCUUAGUCUCCUCACUAUCUCCCAUUAGCAACAUUUAGCUUCUUUAUAACUCUCACUAUCUCACAAGGAAUUAUGAUUCGUAAUUUUUCAUUAAUUUUAUGGAGUGAUUAUGUAAGUAUAAAAGGAGAACUCGUCUUUUUGUUUUGUACCACACAAUUGAAAUGAAUAAAAUCACUUUACAAUAUAUUCUCUCAUUUUAUUCUUUAUCUUGCGUUCCGAGCGGCCUCCCUGCUGUACCGUACAUCCGCCUUGGCCGUACAGCAGAACCACCCGAUUUCCGACGACUGCAUUGGAUACUUCUACUGCAUUCAACAUUUCUAACUUUUAUUGGUUGAUAUACGUGUGAAUAAUAACACAAUCCUAUGAGGUAUUUUUUUAAUUAUUAAUGUUUGUUAAUCUUUAAGUGUAUAUUAGAAAUUAUUGAUCCUUAUGUUUUAACAUGUUUAUGUUAUUUUUCCAUAAUAUUACAGAUGUUGUCGGAAGUUUAUGUGGUGUGGGUGAUAUUGAGAUCAUUGGAGCUGGUUGGAAAAAAAUAGAUAUAAAAGUUCUAAAAGAUUAGCAAAUUGAAUAUAAUUUGGAACUUAUCAACAACUACAAAAGGUAUAAGGUUUGUGCACUUAACUAUACACAUUAAUAUAUAUAUUUAAAGUUAACAAACAAAUAAUUAACUUUCAUAAAUAACAUUAAUUUUAUAAGGCUGCCUCAUCUUAAAAAAAAUCAAUUCAUAUUUUUUAUCAGUUUCAUCGAGUAUAAAGUAAGAAAAAAAGAUAAUACUAAAUUAUUUUUUUAAAGCCGCGUGAAGCGCGGUUCUAUUUUGUAGUUUAUAUAUAAAGUUGGGACUAGAGGAGGUGAUGUGGCAUCACCAUUUAUCAUCUCAUUAAUAAUAAUUAAUUAUAAGUCUUGAAACAUUCAUUUAUUUUAUUAUGCCAAUAAUUAAACUUUAGUGGCUUAAAUACAUCAAUUAAUUAAUAUAGAAAGGAAUGUUUCUUUAUCUUCCCUCAACAAUGCCGUUAGGGUCUAAUUUUAAUGUCAUAAUCCCAUAUUUAAUUAUGCAACCUUUUGUUUAGUGCAUUUUGGCUUCUUCAAACUCUAUAAUAUUAAAUAGUUAAGAUUUGUGGCAUCAUUAUUUCUCAUCUUUUUAUAUUCUCUAUUAUCUAAUAUAUUGGUUGAGAUUAAAAAAUAAUUACAUUACAAAAUAUUAAAAAUAGAAAAUAAAUAGAAAAUAAUUAUUAGAUUACAAAAGAUUAUAUGUCUCUUCCUCUUUCUAUUUAAAUUCAACAAUAUGUAACCAUUAAUAAUAAUUAAUUAUAAGUUUUGAAACAUUCAUUUAUUUUAUUAAGCCAACAACUAAACUUUAGUGGUUUAAAAUACAUCAACUAAUCACCAUUUCUCAUCUUCUUAUACUCUCUAUUAUCUAAUAAACUAGAAAAUAGAACCGCGUUUCACGCGGCUUUGAAAAAAGAAUUUAGUAUUAUCUUUUUUUUUUUACUUUACACUUGAUGAAAUUGAUAAAAAAUAUCAAUUGAUUUUUUUUUAAGAUGAGGCAACCUUAUAAAAAACAAAAAAAAGCUAUUAACCAGCAAUACAAAUAAAGAAGCAACGCAAUAUAAAGAAUAAAAUGAGAGAAUAUAUUAUAGAGUGAUUUUAUUCAUUUCAAUUGUGUGUGUACAAAAUAAAAAGAUGAGCUAUCUUUUUAUAGUUACAUAAUCACUCCAUGAAAUUAAUGAAAAAUUAUGGAUCAUAAUUCUUUGUGAGAUAAUGGGAGUUAUAGGAAAGUUAAAGGUUGCUAAUGGGAGAUAGUGGAGAGACUAAGAGAUAUAUGUUAUGAACAUCUACAUUUAUUUUAAUAAAUUCAUAACACUCCCCCUUGGAUGUUCAUUACAAAGAAUAUGCCUAAUUAAAAUCUUUACAUAAUUGUUAUUGUGUAAUAACAAUCAAAUUAAUUAUGAGAAGAUGAAAAACCAAAUCUAAAAGAAAAUUUCUCAAUUUAUUAGAUAAUAGAGAUAUACAAAGAUGGGAAAUGGUGAUGCCAUAUCACAUCCUUAAGUCUCCAGCUUUAUAUAUAUACUAGGAAAUACAAUCGCACUUCGCGCAGUUUUAAAAAAAAAUUUACUAUUAUCUUUUUUUAUUACUUUGUACUUAAUGAAACUGAUAAAAAAUAUGAAUUUUUUUUAAAAGAUGACGCAGUCUUAUAAAACUAAUGUUAUUUAUGAAAGUUAAUUAUUUUUUUAUUAACAUUAAAAAUAUAUAUUAAUGUGUAUAGUUAUUGUAGACAACCUUUUCAUCAAUAAAAAUUAUGUUCACACUACUCAACUCUAUAUUUUUCUUUGUAUUAACAGACUCCCACAUGAUCUUACAAAGCCUAACCCUUAUCAUCCAACUAUUUUUAUCAUUGUUUAACUCAUGAAGAAAAGAGUACUCCAUGAAGCACACAAUACUAAAAAUUUAAAUAAGUCAAAAAAUAAAAACACAAGAACAUUUCUAAACAGGAUGUUAGUUAAAUAAUUAAAAAAAUCCAAACAUAACAAAUCUUAAAUGCUUAAUAUUUAUAGAGUUUGAAGAAGCCAAAAGACACUAAAUAAAGGGUUGAAUAAUUAAAUAUGAGAUUAUGACAUUAAAAUUAUGUCAUAGUGGCAUUGGUGAAGGAAGAUGAAGGAACCUUCCUUCCUAUAUUAAUUAGUUGAUUAAUUUUAAACUACUAAAGUUUAGUUGUUGGCUUAAUAAAAUAAAUGAAUGUUUCAAAACUUAUAAUUAAUUUAUUAUUUAUGGUUACAUAUUAUUGAAUUUAAAUAGAAAGAGGAAGAGACAUGUAAUCUUUUGUAAUCUAUUAAUUAUUUUCUAUUUUUAAUAUUUUGUAAUGUAAUUAUUUUUUAAUCUCAACCAAUAUAUUAGAUAAUAGAGAAUAUAAAAAGAUGAGAAAUAAUGAUGACACAAAUCUUAACUACUUAAUAUUUAUAGAGUUUGAAGAAGCCAAAAGACACUAAAUAAAAAGUUGCAUAAUUAAAUAUAGGAUUAUGACAUUAAAAUUAGGUCCUAAUGGCAUUGGUGAGGGAAGAUGAAGGAACCUUCCUUCCUAUAUUAAUUANNNNNNNNNNNNNNNNNNNNNNNNNNNNNNNNNNNNNNNNNNNNNNNNNNNNNNNNNNNNNNNNNNNNNNNNNNNNNNNNNNNNNNNNNNNNNNNNNNNNNNNNNNNNNNNNNNNNNNNNNNNNNNNNNNNNNNNNNNNNNNNNNNNNNNNNNNNNNNNNNNNNNNNNNNNNNNNNNNNNNNNNNNNNNNNNNNNNNNNNNNNNNNNNNNNNNNNNNNNNNNNNNNNNNNNNNNNNNNNNNNNNNNNNNNNNNNNNNNNNNNNNNNNNNNNNNNNNNNNNNNNNNNNNNNNNNNNNNNNNNNNNNNNNNNNNNNNNNNNNNNNNNNNNNNNNNNNNNNNNNNNNNNNNNNNNNNNNNNNNNNNNNNNNNNNNNNNNNNNNNNNNNNNNNNNNNNNNNNNNNNNNNNNNNNNNNNNNNNNNNNNNNNNNNNNNNNNNNNNNNNNNNNNNNNNNNNNNNNNNNNNNNNNNNNNNNNNNNNNNNNNNNNNNNNNNNNNNNNNNNNNNNNNNNNNNNNNNNNNNNNNNNNNNNNNNNNNNNNNNNNNNNNNNNNNNNNNNNNNNNNNNNNNNNNNNNNNNNNNNNNNNNNNNNNNNNNNNNNNNNNNNNNNNNNNNNNNNNNNNNNNNNNNNNNNNNNNNNNNNNNNNNNNNNNNNNNNNNNNNNNNNNNNNNNNNNNNNNNNNNNNNNNNNNNNNNNNNNNNNNNNNNNNNNNNNNNNNNNNNNNNNNNNNNNNNNNNNNNNNNNNNNNNNNNNNNNNNNNNNNNNNNNNNNNNNNNNNNNNNNNNNNNNNNNNNNNNNNNNNNNNNNNNNNNNNNNNNNNNNNNNNNNNNNNNNNNNNNNNNNNNNNNNNNNNNNNNNNNNNNNNNNNNNNNNNNNNNNNNNNNNNNNNNNNNNNNNNNNNNNNNNNNNNNNNNNNNNNNNNNNNNNNNNNNNNNNNNNNNNNNNNNNNNNNNNNNNNNNNNNNNNNNNNNNNNNNNNNNNNNNNNNNNNNNNNNNNNNNNNNNNNNNNNNNNNNNNNNNNNNNNNNNNNNNNNNNNNNNNNNNNNNNNNNNNNNNNNNNNNNNNNNNNNNNNNNNNNNNNNNNNNNNNNNNNNNNNNNNNNNNNNNNNNNNNNNNNNNNNNNNNNNNNNNNNNNNNNNNNNNNNNNNNNNNNNNNNNNNNNNNNNNNNNNNNNNNNNNNNNNNNNNNNNNNNNNNNNNNNNNNNNNNNNNNNNNNNNNNNNNNNNNNNNNNNNNNNNNNNNNNNNNNNNNNNNNNNNNNNNNNNNNNNNNNNNNNNNNNNNNNNNNNNNNNNNNNNNNNNNNNNNNNNNNNNNNNNNNNNNNNNNNNNNNNNNNNNNNNNNNNNNNNNNNNNNNNNNNNNNNNNNNNNNNNNNNNNNNNNNNNNNNNNNNNNNNNNNNNNNNNNNNNNNNNNNNNNNNNNNNNNNNNNNNNNNNNNNNNNNNNNNNNNNNNNNNNNNNNNNNNNNNNNNNNNNNNNNNNNNNNNNNNNNNNNNNNNNNNNNNNNNNNNNNNNNNNNNNNNNNNNNNNNNNNNNNNNNNNNNNNNNNNNNNNNNNNNNNNNNNNNNNNNNNNNNNNNNNNNNNNNNNNNNNNNNNNNNNNNNNNNNNNNNNNNNNNNNNNNNNNNNNNNNNNNNNNNNNNNNNNNNNNNNNNNNNNNNNNNNNNNNNNNNNNNNNNNNNNNNNNNNNNNNNNNNNNNNNNNNNNNNNNNNNNNNNNNNNNNNNNNNNNNNNNNNNNNNNNNNNNNNNNNNNNNNNNNNNNNNNNNNNNNNNNNNNNNNNNNNNNNNNNNNNNNNNNNNNNNNNNNNNNNNNNNNNNNNNNNNNNNNNNNNNNNNNNNNNNNNNNNNNNNNNNNNNNNNNNNNNNNNNNNNNNNNNNNNNNNNNNNNNNNNNNNNNNNNNNNNNNNNNNNNNNNNNNNNNNNNNNNNNNNNNNNNNNNNNNNNNNNNNNNNNNNNNNNNNNNNNNNNNNNNNNNNNNNNNNNNNNNNNNNNNNNNNNNNNNNNNNNNNNNNNNNNNNNNNNNNNNNNNNNNNNNNNNNNNNNNNNNNNNNNNNNNNNNNNNNNNNNNNNNNNNNNNNNNNNNNNNNNNNNNNNNNNNNNNNNNNNNNNNNNNNNNNNNNNNNNNNNNNNNNNNNNNNNNNNNNNNNNNNNNNNNNNNNNNNNNNNNNNNNNNNNNNNNNNNNNNNNNNNNNNNNNNNNNNNAAUAGAGAAUAUACAAAGAUGAGAAAUGGUGAUGCCACAUCAAGUCCCAACUUUAUAUAUAUAUAUAUAUAUAUAGAUAGAUAGAUAGAUAGAUAGAUAGAUGAUUACAUAUUGUUGAAUUUAAAUAGAAAGAGAAAAAAAAUACAAAGAAUAUCCACCAAUAUUUUAGAUAUUUUAGAUAAUAGAAAAUAUAAAAAGAUGAGCCUCAAUCACAAAUGCACCCGUAGUUUUCUACAAUUUAUUUAUUGAUACGAAUUGCUUGUACAAAUUAUUUGUGUAGAAAUGACGUUAUUACUAAAUAAUUGGUUGGAUGAUUUUUUCUUGGCCUAAGUAGUUAAUUUUCAUUUAUUAUGCGGAAUUUUCUUUUUUCAUUCCAAUAAUAGUAUAAAACACAUUCGCCCGCGUACAAUAUAAUUGUACAAAAAAAUUAUGUUCCUAGCAAUACUCUUACUUAUAUGAGUUUGUACUCAUGAAAAGUACGUAGCAACAGCUGGGACUACAAGAGGUGACGUGGUAUCACUAUUUCUCAUCUUCUUAUAUUCUCCAUUAUCGAAUAUAUUGGUUGAUAUUAAAAAAUAAUUACAUUACAAAUUAUUAAAAAUAGAAAAUAAUUAUUAGAUUACAAAAGAUUACACGUCUCUUCCUCUUUUUAUUUAAAUUCAACAAUAUGUAAUCAUUAAUAAUAAUUAAUUAUAAGUUUUGAAACAUUCAUUUAUUUUAUUAAGCCAACAACUAAACUUUAAUGGUUUAAAAUACAUCAACUAAUCAAAAUUUCUCAUCUUCUUGUAUUCUCUAUUAUCUAAUAAAUUGGUUGAGAUUAAAAAAAUUAUUACAUUACAAAUAUUAAAAAUAAAAAAUAAUUAUUAGAUUACAAAAGAUUACAUGUCUCUUCCUCUUUUUAUUUAAAUUCAAUAAUAUGUAACCAUUAAUAAUAAUUAAUUAUAAGUCUUGAAACAUUCAUUUAUUUUAUUAUGCCAAUAAUUAAACUUUAGUGGCUUAAAUACAUCAAUUAAUUAAUAUAGGAAGGAAUGUUUCUUCAUCUUCCCUCAACAAUGCCAUUAGGAUCUAAUUUUAAUGUCAUAAUCCCAUAUUUAAUUAUGCAACAUUUUGUUUAGUGCCUUUUGGCUUUUUCAAACUCUAUAAAUAUUAAGUAGUUAAGAUUUGUGGCAUCAUUAUUUCUCAUUUUUUUAUAUUCUCUAUUAUCUAAUAUAUUGGUUGAGAUUAAAAAAUAAUUACAUUAUAAAAUAUUAAAAAUAGAAAAUAAUUAUUAGAUUACAAAAGAUUACACGUCUCUUCCUCUUUUUAUUUAAAUUCAACAAUAUGUAAUCAUUAAUAAUAAUUAAUUAUAAGUUUUGAAACAUUCAUUUAUUUUAUUAAGCCAACAACUAAACUUUAAUGGUUUAAAAUACAUCAAAUAAUUAAUAUAGGAAUGAAGGCUCUUUCAUCUUCGCUCACCAAUGUCACUAGGGCCUAAUUUUAAUGCCAUAAUCUCAUAUUUAAUUAUGCAAACUUUUGUUUAGUGUCUUUUGGUUUCUUUAAACUCUAUAAACAUUAAGUAUUUAAGAUUUGUUAUGUUUGGAAUUUUUAUUAUUAUUUAACCAACAUCCUCUUUAGAAAUGUUCUUGUGUUUUUAUUUUUUGACUUAUUUGAAUUUUUAGUAUUGUGUGCUUCAUGGAGUACUAUUUUCUUCAUGAGUUGAAUAAUGAUACAGAUAGUUGGAUGAUAAUAGUUAGGCUUUGUAGGAUAUGAGAGUCUGUUAAUAUCAAGAAGAAUGAAAAAUUGAUUAGUGUGAAUAUAAUUUUUAUUGAUGAAAAUGUUGUAUACACUUAACUAUACAUAUUAAUAUAUAUUUUUAAAGUUAACAAAAAAAUAAUUAACUUUUAUAAAUAACAUUAGUUUUAUAAGGUUGCAUCAUCUUUAAAAAAAAUCAAUUCAUAUUUUUUAUCUGUUUCAUCAAGUACAAAGUAAAAAAAAAAAGAUAAUACUAAAUUAUUUUUUUAAAGCUGCGCGAAGCGCAGUUCUAUUUGCUAGUUCAAGAAAAAAAGAGAAAGCCGGAGAGAAUGAAACUAAUCCAAGAAAGGAGAAAAGAACAUGAAAAAAAAAAGACUUUUAAUAUUAAAAUAUAAGUGAUAAAUGAAAUAGCAAGUGAGAAAUGUAUAACACACAACCCAAUAAUACUUUUUACAACUUACUUCCUAAAGUCAUUUGUGUAAACAUUACUCUUAUCAAUAGAUAGAUUGAAAUAUCUCAUAACAAUUAUGAAUGUUUUCAUUGUAUUUAAUACUAUUUUUUUUUUAAUUUUGAAGCUACGUUUAAUAUAACAAAAGUGUCGGAUUUGUAUUUUAAAAUUUUAGGGUUUCGAUCGAUUCUAACACAAAGGGGGUUUUUUUUUUUUUUUUAAAGAAGAGUCAUAGAUCAUUCACAAGUUCUAAAAUCAAUCUAGCUAAAGCACUAACCGUGCAUUUACUUUCCAUAAAUCAGAAUGGGUAGGGAUCAGAAUUAUCUAAAAUCGAAAUAUGCUGGAAUUAAAAUGAAGAAUAAGGAUUUAAAUAAGUUUUUUACUUCAGCUGUAGAAAUUAAAAUAAAAAUAAGUUGUAUUUCCAAUGAUCUGUUUACUUUUUUUUUAAUAAUCACUAUGGAUUGUUUCAAGUUACCAUAAUGCCCUUAGUUAAAUUAUAUAUUUUUCACUAAUAAAACAAAUAAGCAAACAUUUUUAAGGGAAAUAUGUGCAAGCAUAUUAUAAUAUUGAGCACAAUAAUAUAAUUUUUAGAAUAAACUAACAUAAUAGUAGUAGUAGUAAUAAUAAUAAUAAUAGAAAUAAUUAUUUUUUUUAUUUUUAUUACAAUAAUUAUCAUAGUAAUAGAAUUAUUACUAUUAUUACUAUUAUUGCGUGAAUAUUGAAAUUAAUAAUAAUAAUAAUAUUAUUAUUUCAUAUUUAAAUAGGAUAAAAAAAAAGAAAUAUUUAAUUUUCUUUAUAGGUAAAUAUAUAAUUUUAUUUCCAUUCUCAUUCCCUAUUUUUAUUUCCACCCUUAUUAGAAAGAAAUUUUCAUUUCUUAUUCCCAAAUUUACAAGUCCCACGCAAAAUGCAUUCUAAUUCUUUAAUGCUUGUAUCAAGUAAACACAACUAAUAAUUCCAAUUUCCCGACUAACUUCCCAUCCUAGAAAAAGAAAGCAUCCUAAGUUCAGAUAUUGAGAAUUGAUGAAGAAUGAAAAACUUAGGCAAGAUUCUAAAUUUUGCAAAAAAAAGCACUGUACGUACUUUUAUUGAAUGGCUGAAUUUUGAAGAAAAAUUGACACCAUACUUUUAUUGAAUCGCACAUAAUUAAAUGAGUAUUAGGUGCAUGGGAUUAUAGAGAAUUAAUUGAAGAAGCAGAUAUUAUAGUCAAAAAUUGUAAAAGUCGCAAUAUUUGACUACUUACAAUCAAAACCUGCAAUAUCCCAUUGUAUAUCAUUUUAGUUUAACUAAGUGUUUUUUUAUUUUAUUUUAUAAGAAAGUAAGCUUUUCAUCAUUCAUUCAACAUUCAUGUACAUUUUGAACCUCUGCUGGUAUUUUUUCUAAUUAGAUGGUAGAUGUAUUUUUUUUAAAGCAAAUUUAGCUAAUGAAUGGACACAAGCAUUACAAUAUCUAGGAACAUAUUGAACUCUAACAUUUUAGAAGUCCCUUCUCUAUUUUUGGAUUUAUGAAAUUAUUCAAAAACUAUUUUGCAGCCCUUUGUAUUGUUUAUUAACUUAGCCACUUCUUGGCAAUCUGUUUCAAUGUUCAAUGGAGAUAAUUCUACCUCUCUUGCCACCUGUAAUCCCCACUCUAUAGCUUCAGCUUCUGUAAAUUAACAUUUCUCCUUAGUUAAGUCUGUUUGAUACCAAUAACUAUCACUUUGGCAUAUGAGUCUUUUACAACAGCUCCUCAACUUGUCAUUUAGUCUUUGCUGCUUAUGACUGCAUCAACAUGAUUUUGAAGGCAUUUCUGGGAGGGGAGAUCCACUUCUGCUGCUUCUCAUUUUUAGCAUUAGCAAUGUGUGAUGGUCCUGUUUUGCUUAAUCUGUGGUAUUCUUCCAAUACUGAUUCUGCCUCAGCUGCUGAGAUACUUGGGUAUAUUCUCUUGUUUUCAAAAAUAAAUUUAUUUCUUUCAUACCACGCAACCCAAUAUUAUGCCAUUGUAAGCUCAAUAUCAACUUUUCUCAGAUUGUUGCACAUGUCUUGAUAGUGCUGAGAAUGUCCUGAGUUGGAGUAUUAGGCUUUUGACUUUAAAAAGAGCUUUAAACCAUAUCUUUUUUACUACUUUAUAGUCCAAAAGAGGAUGGCCUAUGGUUUCCACACUCUUUCUACAUUUUUGACAAAUUGGCUCUUGUAGAAUCUUUCUUUUCCAUAGGUUAUCAGUUGUUAGCAAUAGGUAAUAUAUUUGUUGCUCUCCGCGUGAAGAUUUUGAUCUUUUUAGGUAACUAAAGUUGACCAUAAAAGGUUAUAUUGUUUAUAGUUACUCUCUGAAAUGCUGGAAAAGUUUGGAAAUUUGAUCUUAAGGGCUAGCUAAUAGCCACUUUACUCUAAGUACUUUCAUCUUUUACCAAAAUGCCACAUCACUUCAUCUUCUUUUUGUAUUUCUUGGAAAUUGAAUCUUGAGGAUUACUUUUGUAUCUUCACGCAUGAAAUGUUGAUUCAGCUUGUCUGCAUCCCAUUGAUUUUUAGCAUUGAUUAAAUCAGCUACAAUAGUUUUAGCAGGUAAAGUUAAUAGUGAUACUGGUUUGAAUAUGAAUGGCCUUGCUAUCCAGUUAUCCUUGUACACGAGUAUCUUUUUGCCAUUUCCUAUCUUCCAUAUGACUCUUUUUUUUAUACUUGCCUUCCCCAUAGGAUGUUUCUCUAUAUAAAGGAUCAAUUAAAGCUUGCAUUUGCAUUCAAAAAAUGGAGUUUCUGUAGUAUCUUUCUUGCAACAGUUUAGAUACUAAAAGAAUUCAGAAAUUGAAGUAGCCUCCAUCCUUACUUGGACAUCGGUGCUUGACUGAAGCUAGUACGAUCUCUAAACCCAAUCCUCCUCUGCUUUUUGCAUGGCUCAGCUUCUCCUACCUUGUCCAGUGAAUACCAUGCUUGUCUUCCUUUAUCCCUACUAAAACUUCACAAUAGCUCUUUGGAUACUAUCACAUAAACCCCUCAGGAGUUUGGAUAUACUUAUUGUGUAUGCAGGUGCAGCUUGGGCUACUGCUUUACUAAGAAUUUCCUUGCCUCUACUAUAGAACAUCUAGUGUUGUUAACUUGAAAUCUUACUUAAAACUUUGAGUUAGAUAUCACUAAAAAGCUCAUCUUCUUCCUACCUACUAUGGAUGAAAGGCUAAGUAUUUUUUAUAUUUAGACAUUACAUUAAGCUUGAAGAUACUCUUGAUUGCUGCAAUCUGUCCAUUUGGAAUCUUGCCACUAAAGAACAUAUAUGAUUUCUCAAAAUUAGAAAUCUACGUUGAUGCCCUUGCACAACCAUCAAAUAUCUCUUUUAAAUGCUUGCAAUCCGCCACCGAUGCUCUUGUAAAAACAAGGUUGUCAUCUGUAAAAAGCAGAUGGGAUAUUGUAACAUUAUUUGCAAAUCUCAAUCCUCGAAUCAACUAUUCCUUUCUACUUGCACCAAUAAGUUUGAAAAAUUCUACACACAUAAUGAAGAGAUAUGAAGAGAGCGGACAUCCCUUCCUUAGGCCUUUCUCAGGUUGUAUUAAACCUUUUGGAGCCCCAUUGAUUAUCACUAAAAAAGAAGCAGUAAUGAUGCAACUCAUUAUCAAAUUCACUCACUUGUUUAAAGAGCCAAGUUUUGCCAUUGUUUAUUCCAGAAAUUGUCAUUUAAUCUUGUCAUACGCUUCGCUUAUGUCUAAUUUUAGUGCCACAAAACCAUUUCUUUUCCCUUUGUUAUGUCUAAUCUUGUGGAGGCAUACAUAACCAAUAAUAAUAUUGUCUGCAAGAGUUCAUUAGGUAUGAAUGCACUCUGUCUUGGGGAUAUGAUUUGGGAUAUGAUUGGUUUCAAUCUAUUAGCAAUAGUCUGGGCAACAAUUCUAUAAACAACAUUGCAAAGGCUGGUAUGCCUAUAUUCAACGACUUUUCUAGGCUUAACAAUCUUAAGUAUGAGAGCAAUACAAGUAAGAUUGAGGGAUGCUAAGUUAUAUUGCUCAAUCCAGAAUGUGCAAGCAAGUUCAACUAUACCACUGCGAACUGUCUACUAAUUUUUUUGAAAGAAUAUUGCAGGCAAGCUAUUUGGAGCUAAAGCCUUUGUGGUGCACAUCUGAAAGAGGGCAUCAA
Molecule: long non-coding RNA, 65443 nt
Filed under: Citrus sinensis (sweet orange)
Lineage: Eukaryota; Viridiplantae; Streptophyta; Magnoliopsida; Sapindales; Rutaceae
Description: long non-coding RNA (CSIN_LNC000188)
Source: RNAcentral